Molecule: long non-coding RNA, 45381 nt
Filed under: Triticum aestivum (bread wheat)
Lineage: Eukaryota; Viridiplantae; Streptophyta; Magnoliopsida; Poales; Poaceae
Description: long non-coding RNA (TAES_LNC018018)
Source: RNAcentral
UUUUUUUUAGUUUUUUGACUUAUUUUGAAUUUUGAAGGCGGGGAGAUAGUAAUGGCGCACCAUGGGCAGGUGCGCCAUUAGUAAGUAUGAAUUUUUUUUGCCUCUCCAGAUCUUAAAAGCCCCGUAUCUUUUUUCUGUUAGGUUUUUGAGGAUUUUGAAAAUGUUUAACGGGGUUCCCCCCGUUAAAUUCGGAUGUAACUUUUCGAGUAGAUGAUUUUUCAUAUAAAAAACUUUUUCAUCCGAGUUCGUAUGCAAAAGUUAUGCCCAUUUUACAAAUUCUCGAGAGAUUUUGCAAAUAAAGUCGAAAUUCAUAUUUGUAAAUUUUCACAACAACUAGACCACAUAUCACAUGGGGAACUUAUUUUCUUUUAUUUUUUGGACAUUUCCAUCAUUUUUUUAUUUAUUUUUAACUGAAAAGGCGGUCCAGGGGGGGUGCAUUCGGUGGAAGUGGUGGCCAAGUUACUAAUGGCGCACCGUGGGAUGGUGCGCCAUUACUAGAACUAGUAAUGGCGCACCAUCCCACGGUNNNNNNNNNNNNNNNNNNNNNNNNNNNNNNNNNNNNNNNNNNNNNNNNNNNNNNNNNNNNNNNNNNNNNNNNNNNNNNNNNNNNNNNNNNNNNNNNNNNNNNNNNNNNNNNNNNNNNNNNNNNNNNNNNNNNNNNNNNNNNNNNNNNNNNNNNNNNNNNNNNNNNNNNNNNNNNNNNNNNNNNNNNNNNNNNNNNNNNNNNNNNNNNNNNNNNNNNNNNNNNNNNNNNNNNNNNNNNNNNNNNNNNNNNNNNNNNNNNNNNNNNNNNNNNNNNNNNNNNNNNNNNNNNNNNNNNNNNNNNNNNNNNNNNNNNNNNNNNNNNNNNNNNNNNNNNNNNNNNNNNNNNNNNNNNNNNNNNNNNNNNNNNNNNNNNNNNNNNNNNNNNNNNNNNNNNNUUGGAAUUUUUUUUUGAAACAUAAUUACUAAUGGCGCACCGUGGGAGUGGUGCACCAUUACUAGUUCAACUAGUAAUGGCGCACCAUCCCACGGUGCGCCAUUAGUAGUUUUGAAAAUUUAAAAAAAAAAUUUACUAAUGGCGCACCGUGGAUGUGGUGCGCCAUUAGUAUUUGCACACUAAUGGCGCACCAACACAUGGUGCGCCAUUAGUAUUUAGUAAUGGCGCACCACAUGUACAGUGCGCCAUUAGUGUCCAUAUUGGCUAUAGCUGUUUUUGUAGUAGUGACUAUGGCCAACCUUAAUCAUCGCAUGCAAUAAUUUAGUGCACCUUGAAAUCUGAAUGCCUGCUUGACUCUCCUUCUCCCUCCGGCAGUCCCAGCACUCCACCCCGUGUGGAAAAAAUCUGCAUGCAUAACUCUCCUGCCCCCGAGCUCGUCCAAUCUGUUGUGACCAGCAAUAUUUCCACCCUUCCCUCCCCGUAAUUUACUCCAACAAAUAUGCCCGCGUAGUUGUUACGUUAAUCACACAACAUAUCUUACAGGACGCUGCUUUAGUUACUUAACUGCAGGUGCAUUGGGUCACUGACAUGUGGGCCCAUAAGGCAUCUGGCCCACAUGUCAGUGACGCAACUGCACCUGCAGUUAAGUCAGUGAAGCUUAGUCCAUAUCUUACAUAGGUUUGCCAUUGCUCGCUAUACAUACUAUGCCUCCCACGACAAUCGGAAGAAAGCUCACGUUCAUCGCUAUCUCCUCCCCGUCCCUCUCACGUCGACCACCAUGGCAUCGCCCCUCCCAAAGCCCUAGAUGCGCCUCACUGCACCGCGUGGACGGUCACGCGUCUCCGUUCCGUUCCUCGCUGCCACUAGUCGAGGAUGACGCGUCAGUGUUCUGCUCCUCGUCCCGACGCGUCGAGGUGGACGCGUCGGUGUUCCCAGUCUCUCCAGCACGCGUGGAGGACGCGUCGGCUCCCCGCUACAAGAAGAACGCCGCGCCACCCGCCGAGCCCCCAGCCUUGAGGAGCUUUGGAAAGAAAUGGACGUCGCCUUGUGGGAGGCUUUGCCUCCGGCAGAGCGCGCCCAAAUAGAGGCGGAGAAGAAGGCCGAGGAAAAGAAGCGCGCCGUGAGGCAUGCUGCCUGGCAGGGCUAUGUCGCGUCCGAGAGAGUCAGGCAAUUGGCUCUUUCGCAGAAGGCUCGUGCGAGGGCCGUGAGGGUGGCGGAGGAUGCCCGUGCCAAAGCCCUGAGUGCAGUCGGGCCCAAGCGCCUCAUCUACGCUUGGUGGUACAUGGACCGGGUGCAUGCUUCUGGCGAGGAGGAGUACCUGUUGGCGCCGGAUCACCACACCGGUGAGAUCGCGCUCGCCCGCCGCCAAGCCGCCAAUCAGCACCUCGCGAGUUGCAACACUGAGGAAGAGGUGUUGUGUCAGCGCGCUGGGAAAAGACCGCGCACCAGGGCACUCGUGACGUGCUGCAAGCGCUCCUGCGAGCGUCGUGGCUUUUAUUAGGAAUAUAAUUUAGUUUUGUAAGGCGAUCUCAUUAGUUUUGGGACGCAAAUGAUAAAUCCCGAACGUUCGGGAAUUAUUAGCGUCCUUAAUUAAGUAUGUAAAAGGAAAAUUUUGGAAACCUUGUGUAUCCGUACGCAUUUUGUAAGUACGUGCAUAUAGCACAAACUUUACUACAUACUAUCACACUACACAUCUCUCUCUAUAUAGGCUUGCAGACUGUGAUACUACUAUUACUUAUGUACAUGCAAAUGCAUGUUUUAACAUUACGAUGCGGUUUUUGUAAAAGUAGAAAAACAACACUAGUCAAGGUUGUGAAAUGAUUCAAUGCAAGCAAAUGCCGAAAUGCUCAUUUUAUUGUUUACUUUUAGCUACCUUCUCUAUGGUUUUUUCUCUAUCGUACUUUAUGUGGAGUAUCUCACUGGUCGGGAAGGAAUGCAAAUUCCCAAACCACUUCCUACACCCUGUAUCGAAUUUUUUUCCUAACAAGUUGUGCCGUGCAAUUGGAAUUCCAACUUGAGUACUACUACUAGGAGUACAAGGGGCCAGUUCUUUUAGGCUUCUAGAUUAGUAAUCCCAUAACUACUACCCCCAUCCUGGUUUAUUGGUCCCCAUUGUAAUCUGUGUCAAAUUUAGACCAUAAAUUUAACUAAUGAAAUGUUUAUGCAUGUCACAUGCACUAACAUUUUAUCAGUUAAAUAUGUGGUCAAAAUUUAGCACAAAUUACAAUGGUGAUGAAUAAACCAGGACGGAGGUACUUGUAGCUUAGAAGCCCAAAUAAAUGAGUGAGGCGCCUUAUGUUACUCUCCACUGUGACUAGUCUUAUGGGAAAAGCUGGGGAAGAGACAACUUAUUUUUUAAGCCGCGAAAAGAACUAGCCCUAGGAGUAGUAGGUAGGGAUACUAGGAGUAGUAGCUAGGGAUACUAGGAGUAGUAGCUAGGGAUCGAGUGUGCGAGAUGAACUAGAGAAAGUAAAUGCAGAGAGAUGAAAUGCAAAAGAGACGGAGGGAUGUGAUGGUUGCUUGUCCGUUUAUUUUACUAGGGAGUUGUGGGGUUUUGUGAUAUUAUGGCUUUACUGCCGCGCCAUGAGCGGGGUGAGACUCCCGUGCAACGCCGCCCUCUACACUAGUACUACAUCGGUCGUGGUUUAUUAGUCCCCCAUUGAAUUUAACUGAAGAUUUAACUGACAAAAUGUUAGUGCAUGUCAACAAAAACAAUAUCAUUGGAUGCGUAUUUGAACAUAGUUUUCAAUGAUAUAAUUUUAGGUGACAUGCAUGAGCAUUUAUCGUACUAUAUAAUGUUAGUUAAAUUUAUGGCCGUACUAAUCUAUAGUAAGGUGCCUAUGCGUUGCACAGAACAGUGAAAUGCAUUGAUCGGGGAGUUGUUUAUUUUGACAAAGGAUGUGGGGGUCAUCUCAUGUGUAACGCGUAUCGAUAGGUUUCUUAAGAUAUUAUUUCAUCUCUAGAGCUCACAAACAUCCGGGUGAAAUAGAUAAAAAAGUAACUUUUGCAAACAAAAGCGUUCAACUGUUCAACCUACAUCCAAAACUUGUGAAGAAAUAACACUUAUUGUGCUUUGCAAGAAAUGAUCUUUAAGAAUUAGUUUUUGAAUCGAUUGUUAUAGAUGUUGGCUACAUAUGACAUGGCACUUUCUUAUAGUCAACAGUUGGCUAUACUAUUAAGUAUUAACCAUGCUCUUAUACACCUAGACGGAGGGAUUAAAUCAGGAUGACUUGGAAGGGGGCAGAGGAGAUGUAACAAAGGGUUCAUCAUAAGUCUUUCACCAGUACUGUAGUAAAAAUUCUCAGUUUAUCUCAUAAAUGGCAAGCGAGAACUCUAAUGGAGCAAAAGCAUACAUGGAAGAUUCUAGACUAAACCAUAAAUGGAUACACUUUUAUUCAAGCGUGAUACUCUAAUAGAGCAAGAUCAUGCAUGGAAGGUUCUAUACUAUAUAAAUAAGAAGUCUCCACAUGCUUAGACAUCGGAUUACAUUGAGCGAAGACUAAUGAUCAACAUUUAACUUGGUAAUGCAUAUGUCAAGGUGAACCUCCUUGGAAUCCCCGUGCACCAUCUUGGGGGGGGGGGAAUCAUACCAUGUGUCUUCCAUGUCCUCAUUGGCAGGAAUGUCGCAGCUCGGCAUAGUCCCAGUCAGCAUGAUGGAGUUGGUGUGGGCGCCCACGUACCUCUGAGGGGCAGUAACAGUGAGCACGCACCCGUACAUCGGCCUCAUGUUAGUGUCAGCGUCAGCGGCGUUGCCCUUGAUGCACACUACAGAAAUGGGGCGGUGGCCUGCGCGGGCCUCACUGGUGCCCACGAUCAAGAGGAAGACGUUGCCCUCCUCCUCCGAGACUAGCAGGUGGCGAUGAUCCUCCAGCGACUCCGGCACGGCGAACGGGUAGCACGUCUUGUACUUGAUGUUCACCGCCGCGGGCCAGUAGUGAUCGCCAGACGGUUGUGCGAGGUGAUGCACGAGGCUCGCUGGAGAGCCCCAAGACGGCAACGUGCACCCAUAGCAGUAGCAGCAAGGCGCGUGCGCGCAUCUGGAACUAUGCUCCGCCAGCAAGUGCUGGUCGACGUACCUCUCGCAGCCGAAACUCUUGUAGACGCAGGGCACCUUGGAGGCAUCAACCAGGUCGUCCAUGAAAGGGAGUGGCUAUAGGGGACGUUGCGCCAGGUGAAUAUAUGAGCAAGUUAGUACGAGAUUUAAUCCGAAUAAGCACAAACUAAAUCAUGACGGCUAUAAUAGAGAUUAAACUAAUCAUGUGGACUAGCAUAGUAGAUGAACAUAUCGAAUCCAGGACAUAGACUAGAAACAUGAAUUUUACCACGAUUUUGAACAGUAGGACAGAAACACAUAAUGUGAAACGGGAGCAGCACCAUUGGCGUUGAGGUUGUCGCCCAUGUCGUUGAGGAAGAGGUUGCCGAGGUCGAGGAAGAAGUCAUCGUUGCCAGCAGUCGCACGAGUGCGCUCCCCAAAUUUCAACAGCGCCCGCCGAAUGAAGCACGGUUGGGAGUGGCUGUAGGGGACGUUGCGGCCGCCGAAUGGAGUGCAGGAGUAGCACACGAAGCAGUAGAUGGUGCUCCUCCCUAGUCUCUAUCUCCAAUCUUAUCUCUAUAUCUACUACUCUUUUCUUCUUAUAAUAAAAUAAUAAAAAACCGAGUUGGUGAUGAUGGUGUGCCUGCCAUCUUGUAAUAUAGACCGUCCGAUUUAUAUCUGACGGAUAGAAAGCAAACUAUGACAAUUCUACAAAAGAUACCCGCACCUCUCUCCACAUUUAUAGAUAAGGCCUUGCAUCAUUCAUCCUUAUCUCCCACAACCUCUUUGCUGAGCAAUUAAAAAAGGAAGUCUCUGGAAUAAUCUGGCAUGGUGGCCGCUGCCGGCGCCGUCCAUCCCCAUGCCUCCACCCAGUCCGAGCACUAGUCACCACCACGCCCCACUCCUCCUCACCUUAUCUCUCAUCUUUCUCGAGAUAUCAUUUUUUCGAUGAAAUUCUCGAGAUACCAUUUUUCCGAUAAAAUUCUAGAGAUAUCAUUAGUUUUUACACAUGGGAUUACUCCUGCAAGGGUCAAUCACAACAGGUGUUUUGUAAAAAAAUGCAUCUUGAUGUUCCGUGCAAUGCACCGGCAUCUUGCUAGUUUUUUUGCAUAUAAUUCCAAACACCACGUAGACACAGUCUUUGACCAUUUUACAACUAUGUUAGUAUCAUUGUUAGUGGUCAGCCGGUGCAAGUUAUAGCCCUGGGUAUUUUAACCUUUUUUUAGUAAUGAUAUCUGGCGAUUGUUCGCCACGAGCUCAAUCCUGGCGAAUCCCACGUAACCAUCAGAUUUCCAUCCGACGGUGGUCUGUUUUUAAGCAAUAGUAUUUGACAAAACCGCCACCCUUACACACGUACAGUAACUGCAUCGCGGGCGUUUGCAACUGCCAUGUCUCCCAGCGAACGUUUGCUGGGGAUUGGAGUUACCACCGAUGGCGGUUCGUAGUCGUUCCAUGCUUGGGCAUUGAAGUUUGUAACUGUUUUAGAUUAGAAUAUACUACUCCUCCGAUGCUAGUAGUAGAGCAGAGUCCUACUCCACUACUCUAUAUGCAAACUAGGCCAUAGUAGUAGGUACUAUAGGGAGUACUAGUACUGUGAUCACUCAAGAAAGUUGUCUGGCAUCGGUAUGACCCUACGCUGCCGGUAUGUGUCUCGUAAGUCAAGCGGCAUGCUGUAGUCAUCAUCACCUGUCCACUUCCCGCAGCACAUAUUCGCUUCUCCAUCUUUGUCCGCAAAUAAUCGUCCAAUCUUCCAUCCCCGCUAAGGAGCCUCCCCCUCUUCCGAAACUCAAGCACUAACAAUGGCAGAACCGAGCAGCGUCCGCCGAAAGAGUGGCUGGAAUUCGCUCCCCACAGAGGUAAUCAAGCUCAUUGUUUCGCGUGUGGACAAUCUCAGUACCAUGCCGCUCGCCGCGUGCUCGUCGGGGCUGUACCGUUUACUCAAAGCCCUCAGGCCGAAGCUUUUUAAGCCAGCUCCUUGCUUGCUGAUUCCGCCUGAUCUUCAGAAACAGCGUGUCACGCAGCAUAACGAUCGUAGGGUGGCGAGAAUCAACCCCCUUGACUGUGAUCCGAUCCCCGUCACCCUCAACUACAUUAACGGUAUGUACUGGGUCGACAUGAACACGUCUUGGAUGGUGCUCGUCGAUGAUCGUGGCAGCUGGAUGCUCGUGGAGGUCUACACCCGGCGAUUGAGCCCCCUUCCUUUGAUUAACACUGCACUGCUUUGGCACUGCGGCCCAGAAUACUCGGAAUCUUAUAGUAGCCAACAUCAUACCAAGUUUGAUUUGCUCAAGGUUGUAAUCUUCCAAGUGCCCACAAGAUCUGUGAAUUAUAAAGACUUCAGGAUAAUUGUGUUCUUCAACCGCGGUCUCGCCUAUCUGACAGGUCACUGCGGUAAGUGAAUAAAUCUGCACGUCCAUCGCAGGAUCAUAGAUCCUCCAUGGUUCUCUGAUGCCAUUGAACAUAAGGGCUUCAUUUACGCUGUCGACUCCUUCUAUGGCCGGACGUAUUGCUGGCCUACUCCAGUCAUCGCUACAAACGGCUGUUACAGCAGUAUGUUACUUUCCUAUGAUAUCAUGAUGGCUUGCUUAUAUUACUGUCAACAUUUACUGAAAAAUAUUCAUGCUCAUAACAUGUUGUUCUUAAGAUUGACUACAGUAAGAGCCCUUUUUUAUUUGACUCCAACUUGAUAUGAUGUUGUAGCCGCCUGGUGUCCCAACCCUUCCUAAUCCCAGAACCUUUCAAAGAAUAGCGGCAUGGCAGUUGCAGGUGGUUGCUGGCUCGAUCAGAUGAUGGCGAACGAUUGAUGAUCGUUCGCACAUACCGGACGUGUCGUUUUGCGGAAUACAAUCACAGUCACUGCAAGGUAUUUGAGCAGGAUCCCAACUUCUCUGGGCCUUCAUGAAUUUUUUACUGGAGGCUGGUAAGUAGCCUUGGUGCGCGCUCUCUGUUUCUCGAACUGAAUUAUCCGAUUAACCAGGAGAUAACCGACGGCAAGGAUCAUGAUGGCAGCGCGGUUUCAUUCAUCAGGCAAAACUGUGUGUACACAACGUACCAUUCGUUUCUGCAUGCACCAUACCCUAAUAUGUGCCGCCACGCUCUACAACCCAAAGUAGGAGAGAGGGUCGCAAGCAUCAGACUUUGACCUGCUGGCUGGAGUUUCCCCCGUCAUGCAUCCAUCUGGUUCAAGCCGUCAGCCAAUCUCCACAGCUUAAUAAAUAGUAACGUCUAACUGAGCCAGUUAGUUAGAUGCGUACACUUGGUUUAGUUGGAACUUUAUUUAGUUUGAUGCAUACACUUGUUCUUUUUUGGUAGCCCUAUUUUAAUGAUGGCUGAUGUUUGGUUUGGAAGAGAGAGUUGCGUCUUUACUCUUCUGGCCUGCUUACUGCUUCUAUUGCAGCCCCAGCCCUAGUUGCUGCUGCUGCUGUUUUCAAUGUACAAUCAGUAGUAUAUUUCAUGUGUUGGUUGAAUAAAUGUGUUGUUAGAACGACAAACACAAUGUUUUGGAAGUCGUUGCUCGGUUCGAUCCUUUAGUGCCCCGUACCAUACGUAGCGCGUACUAUUUUUGGUACGGAACACAUUUUCCACUUGUCGAUAACAUGCAGCCCACUGAUGAAGGCCCAAUAGAGGAUCCCAUAAUUAACUGGAAGGGAGGCUCUCACAUGAAUCUGGCCCAGGUACAUGCUCAUGGUCCCCUAAACAUAAAUAAAGCUAAAUGCUCAUGCACCAGUUCUUUAAAUUCAUGAUUUGAAAAGUCAAAUUUUAAGAGGAGGAUAUUAUUUCCUAUGAUAGUGUCGUUACAUUCAGUCGAUAUUAUUCUUAGGCAAAGAUAGCAACCAGUCUUAUUUCUCCCACCAUUUUCUUCCUGCUACCAGCGGACCCAUGCAAAUCCUAGUCAAGGUCGUAAAUAGUUCUGGUCCAUUUUUAUUUUUCAAUAAGAAUGUCCAACCCAGCCUUGGUGCGCUCGCAUUGGCCACAACACAUUAUCCUCCGCCUUGGUGCGCUCUCCGCGGCGCCACCGUGCGGCCCUGUCAACAUAGUGAAUUGGGAGAGGACUGUAGUUGUGAGUAUGACAGUACAGACCCACCAGGUCCACUCCCGAACACAAGCAAGCGCCUCUUUUACUACUCAGAAGCACCCCUCGUUUUUUACUCUAAUCCACCCUGCUAAUAUCUGGGACCCACAUGAUUGUCAACGCACAGUCAAUUAACGACAGAAUUGCACUACUUUUUUUUUGAUGAUUUGUUCGGAGGAGCAGGCUAUAAACUGGGUUGUGCGGUCUCUGUGGCCCGUCUAACAACAUGACCAGCCCAGCAGUUUUUUCUUUGGGAAAAUAGGUAGCCCACUAUUUCUUUUUGAAGAAUACCCAAGCUAGGCCUAUUUGUUUUCUCCGACUUAGUGGGCUGCAAAUCUUUCAAGACGAGGAGGGAUGCAUUCCGGCUUGGGCAAAGAGCAUGGUCAGUAUAUCUUAAAAGUAAUAUCAAAGGGGUUGCAAAUUCCAAAAAAAUUAUAGCAAAUGGGCAAUUAGUUUUUUUUUGUUUUUGUUCUUCACUGAUAUUUUAUAUUUCAUUGGAUUUUAACAUGACAUAGUACUAAUUUAUUUUUAAAUUUGUUUUAGUGUGGCUACUAAUUUUUAGGUUAAGAAUAUUUUGUUCCCCAGCAAAAAUUUGUGAAUUUUUAAAAUUUCACACAUUUUUUAGUUCAAUUUUUUAACCCUAGUACCGACGAGAAAAUGGGCAGCAAUUCUAAAACUGAAAAAUCGGCUGCAAUAAAUUCCAUAUGAAUUAGCAAAUGAGUAAAAAUUAUAAAAAUAAUAGCAAAUGGGCUGUACACGCCACAGAUUUCGAGGCUCACUUGUUUACGCAAGGCUUUGUCAGUCAACACACAAUUCUAGCAGCAGUGACUGUUGGAUGUCCAUCCAACGGCCAACGUGCUUAUUCAAUCUCCGAUCUUCCUGCUCCAGCCGCCUAAACCAGUGCCGGCAAGACUGCCUGCUCCCUCCUCUUGUGGGCCGCUGUGAUGCCGCGCAGGCUUCACCGGCCCACCCUACUCCCUCUGCUGGCCUAGCUGCACGCAAUCAACUCCCUUCUUAUUACGCGAAAAAAUGAUUCCUCCCACUGACAUCUGGGGCGCACCGGUUCGGAGGUAGACCUAUGGGCCUACUAAGUUGACGCGCACGCAGGGCUUUGUCAACUUAGUCAACAAAUGAUUCUAGCAGCAGUGACCGUUGGAUUUGAAUCGAACGGUCCUGCUGCUUCUUCAAUCGCUGCUCUUCUUGCACCGGCCGCCCAAACCAGCGCUGGCGAGACCGCCUACUCCUACCUCCAGUGGCCAGCUGCGGGUUAGUCCAAGGAGGAGAAUAUAACUCAUAACCGCGCUUGCUGUCCUGCCGCUGAUCUUUCCGCAAGAAGAUGAAGGCACUGAGGGUCUGGUGAGGUAACAUGCGCGGGGCAGGCCGCGAGCUAGAGCUCGAUCCCCUAGAUUUGUCAACGUUGAAGGGACAGACCCGAGCACAAGUGUCGUGCCAGCAUGUGUAGCCCCUGUUGCGGGAUGAGCAAGAGGCGGGUCAGCAACGCGGGGAGGCUGCGAAGGGCAAUAAAGCACCAGGCAAGCGGGUGAUAAUCAUAAAGCAACCCAUGAUCGAAAGGUAGAGCAAGUUCUGAUAGAUGCAAGAAGGAUACAUGCCGCAGGGAUGGACCCACGCGGCUUGGGGACAAUGCAGCCUGAGGGGCGCCCCCAACUGAACAACCAAAAAGGUGUCACCUGGCACCAUUGCUGAAGAGGUGUUGGAGUAGUCGAAGGCGCGCGCUGCAGAAGUCGCUCCUCAUGAGCCGCCCAGGUCCUGAGCCUCGGGAGGCUCUGGGGGCCCAGGGGGCUCGCGAGGAUUCGUCGCCACCUCCGAUAGGACCGCCUAGUGCCUGGCCUGAUGAGCCGCUAGGACGUCCUGCAUGUGGCGCUGGUGCAUGAUAGCCCUGUUCAGCAAGCCGAAAGGCAUGUGAACAUAGCUGUGAGGGAGACCCUCGCACCGGCCAAUGUGGGACGGCCAGGAGAGCGCCUGCGACGCGGCCCUGUUGAGGUCGGGGAUGUUGACGCAGGCGCGCAGCUCGCUGUCCUUGCCGGGGCAGGGAGCUACGCCAGGUGGUCAGCGGCGGUCGCCUUGCAUAGCUCUUGCCUCCUGAAGUUCCUCGAUCGCCUUGGUGAUGAACUCCUGAGCACCUGGCGCCUCGCGCCUUGUGCCAUCCUGGCGGAAGCACGCGCUGAAGCAUGCCUCCACAUGGUGCCCGAGCGCCUCCCUCGUGACGUUGGCUAGGUCCGAGGCCCUCCAGAGGAAAGCCCCCGAGCCCAGCCUCAGAGGGGCACUGGGCACACCUUCCUAUGCGAGAGAGGAAGGCGCCCCGUCAGUGGGCGCAGGGCUUGCGGUAGUGCCGCCGGACACCCCACCCUCCUGACAUCCUUGGCAGAGCGGCUACUUCUUCUUCUUGGGGACAACCUCAGGAGGGUAGACAGAGCCCUCGACAUCUGGGUCCUCGACCGGCGCAGCCUGGUAGGCGCGCUCCAGAGAGCACACCGCGUCCUUCUUCUCGCGGGUGACCGUGAUGACGCCGCAGCUUCCUGGCAUCUUGAGGACGUUGUAGCCAUGGUGACCGCCAUGAACUUGGCCAGGGCCGGGUAGCCGAGGAUGGCGUUGUGCGGGAGGCAAAUGUGGGCGACGUCUAAGUCGAUGAGCUCAGUGCGGUAGUUGUCACGCUUGCCGAUGGUGAUAGGGAGGCGGAUCUGCCCUAUCGGGGUGGUGGAGCCAUCGGUCACUCCUGAGAAAGGCUUGGUAGGCUGUAGCUGGUCAUAGGGCACCUGGAGACGGUCGAACGUCUCGACGGAAAGAACAUUGAGCCCCGCACCGCCAUCGAUGAGUAUCUUGGUGACAAGCACGUUGCUGAUGGUAGGCGAGUAGAGCAUCGGGAGGGCGCCGGUAGUUGCCGCACACUUGAGCUGGUCGGAAGAGUUGAAGGUGAUGGUGUACUUGGACCACCUGAGCGGACGUGCUGCCUCGAGCUUGGGGAGGUCCGCAUUCACCUCAGGCGCGAACUGCUUGAAGAUGCGAUGAGAGGCUGGGGCCUGAGCGCCACCCAGGAUGCAAGCAAUGGCUCGAGGUUCCUGGAAGCCCCCAGCCCCCUCCUCCUGGUGGUGGUCGUCAUUCCUUCUUGGUGGUGGCGGCAGCGGAGGAAGGCCAGCGUUGCCCUGAGGGCGGUCCUCACGAGGUUGAUCGCGCCAUUCCAUGCAGGGGUCCCGGUCGUCCCAGCGUCCUCCGCCUCGGCCACCUCCAUGGCUGUAGCCUUGGUCAUUGCGCUGGGGGCAACAACCGAGGCGCCCGUCACGGAUGGCCCUGAGCUCCUGGCAGUCGUUGGUGUUGUGGCUGUGCACGUUGUGGAAGACGCAGAAUGGGCAGUUGCCCUUGGAUGACUCUAGGUGAUCGCAGCCGUGCUUCAUCUCUGGUUCGGCCGCGAGCACGGCCAGUCCCUUGUGCUUCACAUCCUUGGCCUUGGCUUUCUUGUCUUCUAGGCCAGCCCCGGUAGUUCCAAGAGGGAGAGGCGACCUUCCUCAGCUCUCGCACACUAGGUUGCCAUGUUGAACAUCUCCAGAGCCGUGCACGGGUCCUCGUGUAUGGCGAGCUCCUCCUUCAUCUUGACGUGGCGGACGACAUCAGUGAACGUCGAGAUGAUGGAUUCAUCCAACACCUUGGGGAUCUUGAGGCAGACACUGUUGAAGCGCUGGAUGUACUUCUGCAAGGUCUCUCCUGGUUGCUGCUUGAUGUGCUGUAGGUCACCCGCACCUGGUGGGUGGUCGCGAGUGCCCUGGAAGUUGGCAACGAAACGCUCUCGCAUCUCGUCCCAGGAGGAGAUCGAUCCCGCGGGGAGGUUUAGGAGCCACGAGCGCGCGCCGUCUUUGAGGGCCAUGGGAAACUAGUUUGCCAUAACCUUCUCGUCACCAUUGGCCACCUCGAUGCUUAGCUCGUAGAUCUGUAGGAACUCGACAGGGUCGGGGGUGCCGUCGUAGCAUGGAGGCAGGUCGGGCUUGAACUUCCCUGGCCAGACAACGCUGCGCAGCUCCGGAGUGAACGUGCAGCAUCCAGCUGUGGUCACGGGAGCCCACCAUAGAGGUGGAGCCUGAUCUUGGCGCUCGUGCGCCUCCGCCAAAGGCGGCGCGCGGUCUUGACGUGGCGGUGCUAGGAGCGCACGCGCCUCUUCUUGCGGCCGCUGCACCACCUGACAGCUUUCCUCGUCGCCCGUCGACGCCUUACGCGGCGGGUCGCGCUGUGGAGCCUCGCGCCUUGGCUCGAUGAUGGCGUCCUGCAUGGGAGGUGGAGGAUGUGCUCCGUGAGCCACGUCACCCGCAGCAGGCGGCGGGUGAGGCAGCGAGCGAGAUGGUGCAGGAGACUCUCCGGCAGCGCUGACUAGCUCGGCGAUGUGGUCCAGCCAAUCUUUGUAGAGGUCGUCGAUAGUGCGAUAGCGCAGGAGCUCGUGUGCCAUGAGCAACGCAGCCUGCGCGUUCGCCAGCCCGCGACGAGCGUGAGACGAUGAAGCGGUCACCGGGGUCAGCGACGGAGUGGCGGUGGUUCCAUCCCGCCGCACGGAGGGCUGCAUCGACGAAGCCUGCUGCUUGUGGUCCACGGGGCCGGUGGCAGCGUUGGCCGCGGGCGAUGAGGAGCGGCGGGGAGCACCAUCACCAGCGGGCGCUGUCUGGGCGACACAGGCAGCGAGGGAGGCCCGCCGCUCAGCACGAACUCGACGAGCGUAAGCCAUGGGGACGGUAAAACGGUGGCGAAUCGACCGGAGGAAGAGAGGUUCCGACCAAGGUUGUCAGAAUCGUGAUUUUGAAUCGGAUCGUAGAUCCGAUGGUAGGAUCGCAAAUCGUAGAAUCUUCACUAUGAGGAUCAUAAAAACGUAGAUUCUAUGAACUAUAAUAGUAGAAUCAUAGGGGUUAGUUUGGAUCGUAAAGUCGUAGAAUCGUAUAACAGAAUCGCGAUUCUGACAACCUUGGUUCCGACGCACCCCUACCUGGCGCGCCAAAUGUCAGAUUUCGGGCUCCGCAGACCCUUAGAGGUUUGAACUCUGGGGUGCGUGCGAAGAACUCAACCUUCCCAGUCUGCCUACUCGCCAAUCUCAUAGCCUAACUCGAUGAACAGGAAGGAAAUGGGACACAUCACUUUACCCAGGUUCGGGCCAUGUUGCGGUGUAAAACCCUACUCCUGCUUUGUGGUGGGUUGGCCUCGAGGGGCUGAGGAUGAACUACUACAGUGGAGAACCACCUCAGGAGGAGGCGUGAUCUUAUCGUCGAGUGAGCUGGUGGGCCUGAGGAUGGAAUAGAUCUAAUCUCGUUCCUCCUCGGUUCCGUCCCCCACUAUGGUGGUGGCCAGGUCCUACUUAUAGUGGCCUUGGUCCUCUUCCCAAAUGAAGGCGGGAAGGGAUCCCACAAUGGCCAAAUUUGAAGGGAGACAAUUAGUACAUCUUAUCCUGACAAAAGUAGUCUUCGCCUGCAAAGCCUCUGGUCCUGACGCUGUGGUGGGCUCGGUGGUGACCUCCGUCCUGCCGUCCUUGCGGUCUUAGUCUUGUUGGACGGGAAUGGAAACCUUUAGUUGAUUCCUCGGGACUCCGCGCCUGCGCUUGCCUCCUUAGCACCAAAGAAGAAACUGCAGUCCUGCGCCCACUGGCGCCCGCCUGGCCUUGGUCGUCAUGGCUCACGUCACCUGAUCCUCGCGAGGUGAGUGUGACACCCCGAGACCGACGCUUCAGACGCCUUCCAUGUUUUCGUUGUCGCCGUGUGUUUUAUUUGUUUGUUGCAUUUCAUCAUGGCAUCAUCCGCAUUGCAUUGGCACUCGUUGCCGUCAUUGUUUUUCAAAUUUACAUCCGCUCGUAGUUGCCGCGUCACCCCUCACCUUCGUUGACCAAUCCGAGUCCAGCCGGGUUUUUCGAUUCCCUCUUGUCUGACCGUUUGACCCUCUCUGCACUGUGCUCAUACCCGCCUCGCGCACGUCCGAAACUUCCCCGAACCCGAACCUGGCUAUCGUUACCGUUGGGUCCGGAUCAUCCCCAAACAUCUCUAAAACAUCUCCGUUUCUUAUUUAGACUUUCCUAGCAUAUCUAUUCUCGACCGUCAGAUUUUGAUCGGAUGAUCCAACUCAGCUCUUUUCCCACAUAUAUAGUCUACCCCUAGUCCAUUUUGGACCAAACCUAUUUUCUAGGGAUCCUACUCCCCGCCACCACUAUCUCUGGUUCCCUCGGGAUCACCAGCGAACCAACCAGCGCCUCCAUGGUAUCCUCCAUGUUUUCCCCAUCGACCCAAUCCCCUAUCGCCGCCACCUCUCCCUUGGGAUCCCUCCCGAUCCCAUCGAAUCCACCAACCAAAGGCCACCACCCACUCCAGAUCGAGAGGAGCUCGAUCUCGACCUCUCUCCCGACCAGCGCCUCCCCUCGUGUCCGGCCCAUGUCGGAGCUCGUCAUCGCCGGCCACCAAAACAGCAACAGCAGCCCCGCCGCCGGCUGACCGAACCAGCAGAUGAGCGCCCUGCCCCCGCCUUCUUCCUUUCCUUCUGUUCUCCUUCUGCCUCUCGCUCCCCUCGGACUCAUCUCUCCCUCGUUCUGUAUAGGGGAGCAACCAUGGUCGUCCAUCCAUGGAGAUGAGCCGCGCCGCCCUGGUCACCUGCGACCUCGGGUCGCCUCUGCGUCGUCCUCACCGCUCGCUGGUGAGCACCUUUGCGCCGCCUCCGGCCCCUUUCUUUUCCUCCCGUCGCGCCUCUGCUGAAUUCUCCGCCUCGCCGUCGUAUUGCUGCAGGAGCCGAGGCUGUUGCCUCCUCAGUUCGUCGCACCGCCUCGAGCUUUCCCCGCCCCGGAUCUAGCCGCCCCUGCUUCCCGUCACGCCUCCUCGCCAUGUAUCCGGUUGUCCCCGCGACGUCCCUGCCGCCGCGAGCCACCUCUUCUGCAUCUUUACUCUGCAGCGAGGACGAGGCCAGCGCCAAGUCCCUCUCGGUCCCCUGCUUUGUUGGCCUGCUCCAGUUCGUUGCCGCCUCGCUCGCGCCCGGAUCCAAGACCCGCACGUCAAGUCCGCCGCCCGCUGUCGUCUUCCCGGCGAACCACACCGGCCCGCCGCUUCCUGUGCCUACCGGCGCCCGCCUGCGACCUCCUCUGCUUCGAGCCCCGUCCCGCGAAGACCGCACGCUGCCCUCGAGCGUUGACCAUGCCCCGAGCGGCGUCCCAGGCCCAGUUCCAAACCUGCCUGCCUGCCUCACCACCAAACCGGGCCUUAGCCCAUGAGUGAGUAGCUCCUCCAACCCUCUGCUCUAUUGUGGCCGAGCCAGUUUCGGCCCGUGAUGUUUUUUCCUCCCAGGACGAAUUUUCUAAUUAUCCAGAGACUGCCAGUUUUCCAGAGAAGUCCUUCAUGUUCAUGCAUUAAUAACCCUUGAACCGUGCAUCGGUUUAAAAUGAUUUAUAUAUGUAAAAUGCUUAGAAUUUUGUCUAGCUUCAUAAUAUGCAACUUUCACCCAUGUUUAAAAUGGUUAAAAUGAUGUUCGUUCAAAUUUGCUUAAAUGGCAUGCUAAAAUGAUUUAUUUCAUAACUAAAUAACUGUAGAUCCAAAUUUAAGAAACUUUAUAUGUAAAUGGGGUGGAAUAAUGCAUAGAUUAACUUGGUGCAUUUUAUUUUGAUGUUUAACAACAUUAAAAUAUGUUUUAGGGUAGAACAGUAGCUAAUUCAAAAUAUGCACAUGGGGAUUUUCCAGAAUUGUUGUUUGUUUUUCCGGCCUCAUUUAAACUUGCCUAGAUAGGUGGUUUUCAUAUGCUUCACCCCUUGCCUUGUUUAUUAACAUUUAAAAUUGUUGAGUAGGUUAAAUGGGACAGAACUAAAUAAUUGUUGUGGUGUUUCGUCAAUAUGCAACUCGUUGCAUAUUCAGCUCCACUUAAUUUCUAGUAUUGUGUGUGCAUUUUGCCAUGCCAUGCCUAUUUAAACCGGACAUGCAUCAUACUUGAUUGUGCAUCAUGCCAUGUUUAUGUGAUGGUUUUUUACCAUGAUGUUUGCUCCUUUCCGGUUGCGCUUCUCCUUGAUAGUUCCGGUUACGAUGCGAUUGUGAGGAUUCGUUCGACUACGUUGGUUCGUCUACUUCUUGGACUCGUUCUUCUUCCUAUCGGGAUCUCAGGCAAGAUGACCAUUACCCUCGAUAUCACUUCUAUCUUUGCUUGCUAGUUGUUCGUUCUAUCGCUAUGUCACGCUACCUAUCACUUGUUUAUCAUGCCUCCCAUAUUGCCAUGUCAAGCCUCUAACCCACCUUCCUAGCAAACCGUUGUUUCGCUAUGUUACCGCUUUUGCUCAGCCCCGUCUUAUAGCGUUGUUAGUUGCAGGUGAAGAUGAAGUUUGUUCCAUGUUGGAACAUGGAUAUUUUUGGGAUAUCAUAUUAUCUCUUAUUUACUUUAAUGCAUCUAUAUACUUGGUAAAGGGUGGAAGGCUCGGCCUUUUGCCUGGUGUUUUGUUCCACUCUUGCCGCCCUAGUUUCCGUCAUACCGGUGUUAUGUUCCUUGAUUUUGCGUUCCUUACGCGGUUGGGGAUUUAUGGGACCCCCUUGACAGUUCGCUUUGAAUAAAACUCCUCCAGCAAGGCCCAACCUUGGUUUUAACAUUUGCCACCUAAGCCUUUUCCCUUGGGUUCUGCAGACUCAAGGGUCAUCUUUAUUUUAACCCCCGGGCCAGUGCUCCUCUGAGUGUUGGUCCAACCUAGAGCCACUUGUGGUGCCGCCCCUAGGAAACUUGGGGUAUCUUCGGUUGCCGUACGUAGUGUUCAUCCGGUGUGCCCUGAGAACGAGAUACGUGCGACUCCUAUCGGGAUUUGUCGGCACAUCGGGCGGCUUUGCUGGUCUUGUUUUAUCAUUGUCGAAAAGUCUUGUAACCGGGAUUCCGAGUCUGAUCGGGUCUUCUUGUGAGAAGGAAUAUCCUUCGUUGACCGUGAGAGCUUGUGAUGGGCUAAGUUGGGACACCCCUGCAGGGUAUAAACUUUCGAGAGCCGUGCCCACGGUUAUGAGGCAGAUGGGAAUUUCUUAAUGUCUAGUUGUAGAGAACUUGACACUUGACUUGACUAAAAUGCGUCAACCGCGUGUGUAGCCGUGAUGGUCUCUUUUCGGCGGAGCCUGGGAAGUGAAUACGGUUUGGGUUAUGUAUGAACGUAAGUAGUUUCAGGAUCACUUCUUGAUCACUUCUAGCUUCUCGAUCGUUGCGUCGCUUCUCUUCUCGCUCUUAUUUGCGUAUGUUAGCCACCAUAUUUGCUUAGUGCUUGUUGAAACUCCACCUCAUUACCCCAUCCUACCCAUAAGCUUAAACAGUCUUGAUCUCGCGGGUUUUGAGAUUGCUGAGUCCUCGUGGCUCACAGAUACUUCCAAACAGUUUCACUUGCCGAUGAUGCCAGUGCAGGUGAUGCUACCGAACUCAAGUGGGAGUUCGACGUGGACCUUGGUCGUUACUAUGUUUCGUUUCUUGAUGAUCAGUAGUGGAGCCCAGUUGGGACGAUCAGGGAUCUAGCAUUUGGGGUUAUCUUCUUUUCAUUUGUAUUUGUCCGUAGUCGGACUAUGUGUGUACUCUGAAUGAUGUAUGUUUAAUUCAUGUAUUGUGUGAAGUGGCGAUUGUAAGCCAACUCUUUAUCCCAUUCUUGUUCAUUACAUGGGACUGUGUGAAGAUGACCCUUCUUUCGACAAAACCACCAUGCGGUUAUGCAUCUAAGUCGUGCCUCGACACGUGGGAGAUAUAGCCGCAUCGUGGGUGUUACAAGUUGGUAAUCAGAGCCAUCCCCGACUUAGGAGCCCCCUGCUUGAUCGAAUCGCUGACGUUGUUGAGUCUAGAACAAAAUGUUUUGAGUCUUAGGAUUAUAUAUAUCGGAGAGUAGGUUUCUUUUUACUCCUCAGUCCCUUCAUCGCUCUAGUGAGGUCUCCUGACGUAGAUGUUUUGACUUUCCUCUCCUCAAAUUUCACUAAAAAAAAAUUAGGAUCACGCGGGUAUCUUGGGAUCGUUCCGAUAGUCUUGUGACGAGAACAUUGUUCUUGGUGCCUCCUGACAUUUAGGUGUUGUGGCAGUGUCCCGGGGAGUUGAGCUCCGAGGUGUUGUCAUCGCAAUUUUAUUGUUGCGGUUCUGAAAUACCUGAGUUUUUCGCCGACAUCGAAAAUCUCUUUUAUGAAGUUGUUGGUGAGAUAACCUUGACACCACCCAGUACUGGGGCGGGAGUUCGGGAGUAUUGCCAUAGCUCGUGUAACGGAUGCUUUUCGAUGGUUGAGGUACACGAUUUCGGUAGUUUUCUUGGUUAUGUGUUGACGGAUGGAUACAGCUGGAUGUAGGGAUUGUUAGUUUGGGUGAGAUAUUAUGCUUCCCCUGUAUCCCCAAUACCUGAUUGCGGAACCAGAAAGUUUCGGGAGUUUAUAAGUGGGAAUUCAAGUAUCACGUAGGACAUCUUUCCAACAGAAACAUGAUAGGAUAUGGGAUCUAUCAUAUGUUUGUUCUGGCCUAUUUCCUAAGCCAAUCCUUUGUUUUGUUUUGAGUUGUGGUAUUUGAGUUUCUUGGAUGUCAAGUGUUGAUUCCAUACCUCUCCUAAGCGGUGUUCUCAUACUUCUAUGUGAAUACUAAUCCUUCUUGAUCACUGAGGUUGUCAUGUCAACUCUUUUCCAACCGGCGUGCUUCUCUUCAAGUUCAUCCGAUCAUUGCAACAUUCGCAAGAUCAAUUCUAAGUUUUUCCUCAAAGGUGUUCGUUUCAUCCGUCCCAAGUUGCAUUUGUUUUUCCCACCCUCCCACCCUUUUUCUUCAAGGACUCAGAUAUCUUAAUCAAGUAUCCAUCUUAUGGAUGUGAAGUCUCUUCAUUUUUCCAUUCAAUGUUUUUACCCAGUGUUUCUUAUGAAGAUGCUAAGGGACCUUCAAGUUCGUCAUUCUUCACUCGUUUUCUUCUCCGGUGGAUUAAUUUCAAGAUUUCGGUGUUGAUCUUAUCCCUUUUUCUCUUUCAACAAUGCCUUCUCAUUCCGGUGCACCAAUUAAUCAUUCACCUCUCGCUAUUCAAUUGUUACGGAGCGUUGAAGAUAUCUCAGAAGUUUUUGUCUCCAUUAUCAAUCCGUUCAAGCUAUCUCGAGAUUGCUAUAUCAUUCAAGCCAUUUGAUUCAACAGGUGCAAUAUCUCUCUAAAAAUCAUUCUACGGUGUACCUUUUGAGUGGGCCCUAACCCAUAGGUCUUUUCCGAGGAUCUUACCUGACUCUUCUAAUUUUUUCGGAGUUAUUCUCAAAUUCAUUUCAAAGUUUGACGUAAGAAUGAAUUUUCAUCAGUCAAAUGUCUUUCUCCAAGACAUUUCAAAUUCGUUUCAUCGUUGGUUCAACCUUUCUAUUUUUCAUUCCGGAGUGCCCCGACAAUUCAUGGUGGUGUUUCUCAUCGUCAUUCUCGGAUUUUGAAGACCGAAGAGGAGUUCCUCUUUAAUCCUUACAUGUUCUUCCGAAGAUGCGUGGUUCUAGCUUUAUGCCAUCCUCUGAUAAUUGUUUUUGAUUGUGACAAUUCUUCUCAUACCCAUCCGGAGCAUUUCAUGAGUUGUUUCCAUUUCUUUCAUCCGAAGGCCAUCAUGUCACAAUUCUUCAUUCUCAGCGUGUAACUAUCGUUCUCCAAAUCUUAUCGGUGCAUCGUUCAAGUAUCCUCUAGUCAGCUCAUGAUCUAUUCAUUCUCAUGUAUCUCAAUUCUCUCAAGUAUCUUCGUUCUUUUUCUAAUUCUUCCCGGUGUCUUGCUAUCUUUUCUUUUUCAUUUUUUUAAUUCUUACAGAGGUUUGUUCACGAUUCCUCUUCCUAUGUUCUCAUAUUAAUUUAUUCGUUGUUUCAAUCCUACCGGUGGUUCGUUGAAGACCUUCCCAAGUUGAGCAAUAUCUCUCUUCAAUCCUUUUUCAAUGAAUAUAAGUAGUAUGCCAAAUCCAUUGCUUGUCAUCAAUUUAAAUUGACGAAGGAUACGCAUAAUGUAAUUCUUAUUCUUGUUUCAUCCAAGGGUUUAAUCCCUUCCUUCGAAGUUUGUUCAUGAUGAAGUAAUUCUCAGUUCUAAUGUUUCAUCUUUUUCUUUUUCGGAGUUCCAAGUUUUCCGCAUUAUCUCGUCACGAAGCUCCAUCUAAAUCAUCGUAAGGCUUCACCUUGUGUUUUCAACUUCUCUUCCUUUUUAUCAACCUUUUAUUGCCGGAGUUCUUCAUGGAGGCUCUACAUGGUUUUUCGUCAAGGAUUCUUUUCAUUCUUCAAUUGUUCUUCAAGAUUUCUCUCGAAGUUAUGAUCCACCAAGCUAUACUCAAAAUUAAACAUGGUGCUCAACACAUAUUUUGUUUUGAGGAGUUCUAGCAUUCUUCAUCAUGCAUUCCGAAGUGCAAUUCUUUCUACCUUAUCUUUUGAGGUGGUGUUAUGUCAUUCUUGACAAUUUCCCUUCGUGAUUCAAGUUAUCAAGAAUGAGAUAUUUAAACCCAUCGUUUCUUCAUUGGAGUUAUCUUGGGUUAUAUUUCAUCUAAAGCUUUCCCUAAGGAUUGUUGCUAUUGAUGGUGCUUAUAAAUGACUCAAGUUCUUCAUUUAUCCUCCCGGUGAAAGAAGUUUUCAUCUCCUUGUUGAUCUCAAUCCAAUCAACUGUUUCCAUUAAUGGCCGGUUGUCACCUCAUAAUUUUGAGAUGUUUUCCAUAAGCCCACAACAAGCUUGUCCUUUUGUUGUUGAUUUUCCAACAACUCCGUUCAACCUUUCUCCGUAAGGAUGUUUUUCAAAUUCGUCUGUGGUAGAGGCAUUGUGAUGUUGCUCUCUUCACCCAUCAUAUCGCUUUGUCAAGAUCAUGUUCUUUUCCUUGCUUAUCCAUUUAACUGGAGUGAUGUUCGAAUUUGUUCUUCCUUGAACCUUGUUUAUCUCGUUUCAACCAGAGUGGUUUCAAUUCCUUGUCCAUUGUGCUCGUCUUUCAUAGCAUUGCAACCUCCAAGGUUCACAUGGUGUUCCUUGUUUCUCUUUUCUACCGUAGUGCCCUCAAUUUCGUUCAACUAUGUUGUGUUCUUCUUUCAAGUUUUCAACCUCUCAAGGUUCUUUGGUUUCACUCAUUUGUCGAAGAAGCAACUUAGUUUUACCUCUUCCUCUUGCGUUUUCUCUCCGGUGCCAUCCUUAGAUCUCAGGACGAGAUCUCUCGUAAGAGGAGGAGUGUUGUGACGCCCCAAGACCGACGCUUCAGACGCCUCCCAUGUUUUCGUUGUCGCCGUGUGUUUUAUUUGUUUGUUGCAUUUCAUCAUGGCAUCAUCCGCAUUGCAUCGGCACUCGUUGCCCUCAUUGUUUUUAAAACUUACAUCCGCUCGUAGUUGCCGCAUCCCCCUGCCUUCAUUGACCAAUCUAAGUCCAACCGGGUUUUUCGAUUCCCUCUCGUCUGACCGUUUGACCCUCUCUGCACAGUGCUCAUAACCCCCUCGCGCACGUCCGAAACUUCCGCGAACCCGAACCGGGCUAUCAUUACCGUUGGGUCCGGAUCAUCCCCAAACAUCUCUAAAACAUCUCCGUUUCUUAUUUAGACUUUCCUAGCAUAUCUAUUCUCGACCGUCGGAUUUGGAUCGGAUGAUCCAACUCAGCUCUUUUCCCAUAUAUAUAGUCUACCCCUAGUCCAUUUUGGACCAAACCCUAUUUUCUAGGGAUCCUCCUCCCCGCCGCCACUCUCUCCGGUUCCCCUCGGGAUCACCAGCGAACCAACUAGCGCCUCCCCUGGUCUCCUCCAUGUUUUCCCCAUCGAUCCAAUCCCCUAGCACCGCCACCUCUCCCUCGGGAUCCCUCCUGAUCCCCUCAAAUCCACCAACCAAACGCCACCACCCACUCCAGAUCGAGAGGAGCUCGAUCUCGACCUCUCUCCCGACCAGUGCCUCCCCUCGUCGUCGUCGGCCACCAAAACAGCAACAGCAGCCCCGCCGCCGGCUGACCGAACCAACAGAUGAGCGCGCUGCCCCCGCCUUCUUCCUUUCCUUCUGUUCUCCUUCUGCCUCUCGCUCCCCUCGGACUCAUCUCUCUCUCGUUCUGGACAGGGGAGCAACCAUGGCCGUCCGUCCAUGGAGAUGAGCCGCGGCGCCCAAGUCACCUACGACCUCGGGUCGCCUCUGCGUCGUCCUCACCGCUCGCUGGUGAGCUCCUUUGCGCCGCGUCCGACCCCUUUCUUUUCCUCGUGUCGCGCCUCUGCUUAAUUCUCCGCCUCGCCGUCGUUUUCCUGCAGGAGCCGAGGUCGUUGCCUCCUCAGUUCAUCGCGUCGCCUCGAGCUUUCCCCGCCCCAGAUCCAGCCGCCCCUGCUUCUCGUCGUGCCUCCCCGCCUUGGAUCCGGUCAUCCCCGCAACGUCCCUGCCGCCGCGAGCCACCUCUUCUGCAUCUUCACUCUGCAGCAAGGACGAGGCCAGCGCCAAGUCCCUCUCGGUCCCCUGCUUCGUUGGCCUGCUCCAGUUCGUCGCCGCCUCGCUCGCGCCCGGAUCCAGGACCCGCACGUCAAGUCUGCCGCCCGCUGUCGUCUUCUCGGCGAACAACUCCAGCCCGCCGCUUCCUGUGCCUGCCGGCGCCUGCCUGUGACCUCCUCUGCUUCGAGCCCCGUCCCGUGAAGACCGCACGCUGCCCUCGACCGUUGACCGUGCCCCGAGCGGCCUCCCAGGCCCAGUUCCAAGCCUGCCUGCCUGCCUCCCACCAAACCGGGCCUUAGCCCAUGGGUGAGCAACUCCUCUAGACCCUCUGCUCUGUUGUGGCCCAGCCAGUUUCGGCCCGUGAUGUUUUUUUCCUACCAGGACGAAUUUUCUAAUUAUCCAGAGACUGCCAGUUUUGCAGAAAAGUCCUUCAUGUUCAUGCAUUAAUAACUCUUGAACCGUGCAUCGGUUUAAAAUGAUUUAUAUAUGUAAAAUGCUUAGAAUUUUGUCUAGUUUCAUAAUAUGCAACUUUCACCCAUCUUUAAAAUGGUUAAAAUGCUAUUCUUUUAAAUAUGCUUAAAUGGCAUGCUAAAAUGAUUUAUUUCGUACCUAAAUAACCGUAGCUCCGAAUUUAAUAAAAUUCAUAUGUAAAUGGGGUGGAAUAAUGCAUAGAUUAACUUGGUGCAUUUUAUUUUGAUGUUUAACAACAUUAAAAUAUGUUUUAGAGCAGAACAGUAGAUAAUUCAAAAUAUGCACAUGGGGAUUUUCCGGAAUUGUUGUUUGUUGUUUCCUUCCUCAUUUAAACUUGCCUAGAUAGGUAGUUUUCAUAUGCUUCACCCCUUGCCAUGUUUAUUAACAUUUAAAAUUGUUGAGUAAAUUAAACGGGAGAGAAUUAAAUAAUUGUUGUGGUGUUUCGUCAAUAUGCAACUUGUUGCAUAUUCAGCUCCACUUAAUUUGUAGUAUUGUUUGUGCAUUUUGCCAUGCCAUGCCUAUUUAAACCAGACAUGCAUCAUACUUGAUUGGGCAUCAUGCCAUGUUUAUGUGAUGGUUGUUUACCAUGAUGUGUCCUUCUUUCCGGUUGCGCUUCUCCUUGAUAGUUCCGGUUACGAUGCGAUUGUGAGGAUUCGUUCGACUAUGUUGGUUCGUCUACUUCUUGGACUCGUUCUUCUUCCUUGCGGGAUCUCAGGCAAGAUGACCAUUACCCUCGAUAUCAGUUCUAUCUUUGCUUGCUAGUUGUUUGUUCUAUCGCUAUGUCACGCUACCUAUCACUUGUUUAUCAUGCCUCCCAUAUUGCCAUGUCAAGCCUCUAACCCACCUUCCUAGCAAACCGUUGUUUGGCUAUGUUACCACUUUUGCUCAGCCCCCUCUUAUAGCAUUGUUAGUUGUAGGUGAAGAUGAAGCUUGUUCCAUGUUGGAACAUGGAUAUUGUUGGGAUAUCAUAUUAUCUCUUAUUUACUUUAAUGCAUCUAUAUACUUGGUAAAGGGUGGAAGGCUCGCCUUUUGCCUGGUGUUUUGUUCCACUCUUGCCGCCCUAGUUUCCGUCAUACCGGUGGUAUGUUCCUUGAUUUUGCGUUCCUUAUGUGGUUGCGGAUUUGUGGGACCCCCUUGACAGUUCGCUUUGAAUAAAACUCCUCCAGCAAGGCCCAACCUUGGUUUUAACAUUUGCCACCUAAGCCUUUUCCCUUGGGUUCUGCAGACUCAAGGGUCAUCUUUAUUUUAACCCCCAGGCCAGUGCUCCUCUGAGUGUUAGUCCAACCUAGAGCCACUUGCGGUGCCGCCCCUAGGCAACUUGGGGUAUCUUCAGUUGCCGUACGUAGUGUUCAUCCGGUGUGCCCUGAGAACGAGAUACGUGCAACUCCUAUCGGGAUUUGUCGGCACAUCGUGUGGCUUUGCUGGUCUUGUUUUAUCAUUGUCGAAAAGUCUUGUAACCGGGAUUCCGAGUCUGAUCAGGUCUUCCCGGGAGAAGGAAUAUCCUUCAUUGACCGUGAGAGCUUGUGAUGGGCUAAGUCGGGACACCCCUGCAGGGUAUAAACUUUCAAGAGCCGUGCCCGCGGUUAUGGGGCAGAUGGGAAUUUGUUAAUGUCCGGUUGUAGAGAACUUGACACUUGACUUAAUUAAGAUGCAUCAACCGCGCGUGUAGCCAUGAUGGUCUCUUUUCGGUGGAGUCCGGGAAGUGAACACGGUUUGGGUUAUGUAUGAACGUAAGUAAUUUCAGGAUCACUUCUUGAUCACUUCUAGCUUCUCGAUCGUUGGGUUGCUUCUCUUCUCGCUCUUAUUUGCGUAUGUUAGCCACCAUAUUUGCUUAGUGCUUGCUGCAACUCCACCUCAUUACCCCAUCCUACCCAUAAGCUUAAAUAGUCUUGAUCUCGCGGGUUUUGAGAUUGCUAAGUCCUCGUGGCUCACAGAUACUUCCAAACAGUUGUAGGUGCCGAUGAUGCCAGUGCAAGUGAUGCUACCGAACUCAAGUGGGAAUUCGACGUGGACCUUGGUCGUUACUAUGUUUCGUUUCUUGAUGAUCAGUAGUGGAGCCCAGUUGGGACGAUCGGGGAUCUAGCAUUUGGGGUUAUCUUCUUUUCAUUUGUAUUUGUCUAUAGUCGAACUAUGUGUGUACUCUGAAUGAUGUAUGUUUAAUUCAUGUAUUGUGUGAAGUGGCGAUUGUAAGCCAACUCUUUAUCCCAUUCUUGUUCAUUACAUGGGACUAUGUGAAGAUGACCCUUCUUUCGACAAAACCACCAUGCGGUUAUGCCUCUAAGUCGUGCCUCGACAUGUGGGAGAUAUAGCCGCAUCGUGGGUGUUACAGUGGGGCUUGUAUAGAAAUCUUCACUCCUUAGGAGCCAGCCUCAGGAGGCCGCUCCUUAUGAGGGCCUUGGUGUCGUCCGCUUCGUGGGGCUUGGCCCCUCGCAAGGGUCUUGAGUUGUUGAUGCUGAAGUUGGGCCGUACCAGGCUGUCGAUGGAGCCAUGCCAUGGGCCGCAGGCAGGCAAGUCUAGGAACCCCCGUUCCCAGAACGCCGACAGCCGCCACUUUCACUUGUCAAUGAUCGAGCCACACUAGGUUUUAGCAUCAUCAACGUCAAUGAGCCCACGCGAAACUCGGUCCAACAUUUGCCCUGCUAAGGGAAAAUCCUGAGUAGUGUGCCUACGCGAAUCCGUUGAUUGACGCCCCGGCAAGCAUGCUCUGGCAAGGCCUUACGCGUUAGUGUGACCUUUGUGCCGACCGCCGUAAGAUCAUUAAUAGUGUAAGGGGAAGGAUAGAGAAACCAGCCCUACCUUGCACCAUGUUUUGUCGCCCACAAGAGAUCUGUGAUCCCCUCCGGCCCUUGCCGGAGACGCGAAAACGACAAGCGAAGUGCCAUCCUCCCAAGGCACGCGAACGUGGAGAGUGAUCGCGAUGGGAGAAGAAGGGAAGCAUGGGAGAAACUAAGUCGGCGUGUCCAUUGAUUUUCGCUCUAGAGUUUGCAUUUUCUUAUCCCUCGGACAAUCAAUGUUUUUCGUAUGGUUUAAACCUUUCCGUGUAAUGACACCUUGUUGUAUUUGUCUGCACCCCCACUUUGUUUUGAGCCAGCUCAACGAAGUGGGUAGCUGUGUCAAAGACUCCUAAGGAAAAACCUGCCUAGACAUGUCCUCGCCAGCUGAAUGCUAAGGACUCGCUCCUCACAGCAAUCGCGGCAGCAUGCUACUGGCGGGCAACCAAAAAGGCGUGAAAGAAAACUAACCAUACGAACUUCUAUGGAUUGAAUUUUGCUUCUAGAUAUCUUUUAGAUUUGGUCGCGGGAGGUACUUUUAUGGAAAUUGCUUUAGGAGAAGCCACUAAACUCCUAGAUAAUAUUAUGGUUAAUUAUUCUCAACGGCAUACCGAAAGAUCUUCUUCUAGUAAAAAAGUGCAUGUGAUUGAAGAGAUUAAUGUUUUAAGUGGAAUGAUGGAUGAACUUAUGAAAUUAUUUGCUAGCAAGAGUGCUCCUAUUGAUCCUAAUGAUAUGCCUUUGUCUACUUUGAUUGAGAAUAAUAAUGAAUCUAUGGAUGUGAAUUUUGUUGGUAGGAACAAUUUUGGUAGUAACUCGUAAAGAGGUAAUUUUAAUCCUAGGCCAUUUCCUAGUAAUUCCUCUAAUAAUUAUGGUAAUUCCUACAACAAUUCUUAUGGAAAUUAUAAUAAGAUUCCCUCUUAUUUUGAGAAUAGUGUUAAAGAAUUUAUGAGCUCACAAAAGAGUUUCAACGCUUUGGUUGAAGAAAAAUUGCUUAAGAUUGAUGAUUUGGCUAGGAACGUGGAUACAAUUUCUCUUGAGAUUGAUAUUCUUUGAAAAUUAGAUCUAUUCCACCCAAGCAUGAUAUUAACGAGUCUCUUAAAGCUAUGAGAAUUCCCAUUGAUGAGUGUAAAGAAAGAACCGCUAAGAUGUGUGCUAAGCCAGAUUGGUUUGUAAAAACAUGUUCUUCUAGUUUUCGUGAAAAAUAAUGAUGAAGAUCUUAAAGUGAUUGAUGUGACUCCUAUUGAAUCUUUGUUUUCCAAUAUAAAUCUUGAUGAAGAUGGCACUGGAUAUGAGUCAACUUUAUUUAAAAGGCGUCCCAAUGAUUCGGAGUUUAUAGAUCUUGAUGCAAAAAUUGAUAAAAGUGGGAUUGGCGAGGUCAAAACUUUGAUAGAUUGUAUUUCCUUGUUGCAAUCCAUGUUGUAUUCUCCUCAUGCUUAUAAUCAAAAUAAAUCUUUUACUAAACAUAUUGUUGAUGCUAUGAUGAAAUCUUUUGAAGAAAAGCUUUAAUUGGAAGUUUCUAUCCCUAGAAAACUUGAUGAUGAGUGGGAACCUGCUAUUAAGAUUAAGAUUAAUGAUUAUAAGUGCCAUGAUUUGUGUGAUUUGGGUGCUAGCGUUUCCACGAUUCCAAAAACUUUAUGUGAUGUGUUGGGUUUCCAUCAAUGUGAUGAUUGUUAUUUAAAUUUGCAUCUUGCAGAUUCCACUAUUAAGAAGCCUAUGGGCAGUAUUAAUGAUGUUCUUAUUGUUGCAAAUAGGAACUAUGUGCCCGUAGAUUUCAUUGUUCUUGAUAUAGAUUGCAAUCCUACAUGUCCUAUUAUUCUUGGUAGACCUUUCCUUAGAAUGAUUGGUGCAAUUAUUGAUAUGAAAGAAGGAAAUAUCAAAUUUCAGUUUCUGUUAAGGAAGGGCAUGGAACACUUUAAUAUAAAGAAAAUUAAGUUGCCAUAUGAAUCUAUUAUGAGAGCUACUUAUGGAUUGCAUACCUAAGAUGACAAUACCUAGAUCUAUUUUUGUAUGCCUAGCUAAGGGCGUUAAACAAUAGCGCUUGUUGGGAGGCAACCCAAUUUUAUUUUUGUGUUUUUUCUUUUGCUACUGUUCUUGAGUAAAAUACACAUUAUUACCUUUGUAGUAAUUGUGUUUUCAUGUUUUAAUUAGUGUUUGUGCCAAGUAAGACCUUUGGGAUAGCUUACGGUGAUAGUUGAUUUGAUCUUGCUGAAAAACAGAAACUUUUGCGCCCAGUUAUAUAAUUCUCAUUUUUAACAGAAGCGCGAUAAAAUACUGAUUCUUUUUGCAGAAGAUUAAGAUACAAAUUUCCUCUGUUGUCCUAAUUUUUCGAAAAAAUUGGAGUUACAGAACUAUUCGAAGUAUUCAGAUUGCUACAGACUGUUCUGUUUUUGAUAGAUUCUGUUUUCUAUGUGUUGUUUUCUUAUUUUGAUGAAUCUAUAGGUAGUAUCAGGGGGUAUGAACCAUGGAGCUGGAAUAUAGUAGAUAUUACACAAAUAUAAAUAAAGAAUGAGUUCACAACAAUACGAAAAGUGGUGAUUUUAUUUUCUUACACUAACGGAUCUCAUGAGAUUUUCUGUUGAGUUUUGUGUUGUGAAGUUUUCAAGUUUUGGGUAAGGAUUUGAUGGACUAUGGAAUAAGGAGUGUCAAGAGCCUAAGCUUGGGGAUGUCCAAGGCUCCCCAAGGUAAUAUUCAAGGACAACAAAGAGCCUAAGCUUGGGGAUGCCCCGGAAGGCAUCCCCUCUUUUGUCUUUGUCUAUCGGUAACUUUACUUGAGGCUAUAUUUUUAUUCACCACAGGAUAUGUGUUUUGCUUGGAGCAUCUUGUAUGAUAUGAGUCUUUACUUUUUAGUUUGUCACAAUAAUUCUUGAUGUACACACCUUUUGAGAGGGACACGCACGAAUCGUGAUUUAUUAGAAUACUCUAUAUGCUUCACUUAUAUCUUUUGAGCUAGGCAAUUUUGCUCUAGUGCUUCACUUAUAUAUUUUUAGAGAACGGCGGUGGUUUUAUUUUAUAGAAAUUGUUGAACUCUCGUGCUUCACUUAUAUUACUUUGAGAGUCUUUCUAAACAUCAUGGUAAUUUGCUUUGGUUAUAAAUUAUGUCCAAAUAUGAUAGACAUCCAAGAGAGAUAUAAUAAAAACUUUCAUAUAAAGUGCAUUGAAUACUAUGAUAAGUUUGAUUCCUUAUGAUUGUUUUGAGAUAUGAGGAUGGUAUUAUUAGAGUACUGCUAGUGAGUAAUUGUGAAUUGUAGAAAUACUUGAAUUAAAGUUUAUGAUUCCCGUAGCAUGCACGUAUGGUGAACCGUUAUGUGAUGAAGUCGAAGCAUGAUUUAUUUAUUGAUCGUUUUCCUUAUGAGUGGCGGUCGGGGACGAGCGAUGGUCUUUUCCUACCAAUCUAUCUCCCUAGGAGCAUGUGCGUAGUAUUUUUUUGAUGACUAAUAGAUUUUUGCAAUAAGUAUGUGAGUCCUAUAUGACUAAUGUUGAGCCCAUGGAUUAUACGCACUGUCACCCUUCCACCAUUGUUAGCCCCUCUAGUACCGCGCAACUUUCGCCGGUACCAUACACCCACCAUAUAACUUUCUCAAAUAAGCCACCAUACCUAGCUAUUAUGGCAUUUCAUAGCCAUUCCGAGAUAUAUUCCAUGCAACUUUCCACCGUUUCGUUUAUUAUGACACGCUUCAUUAUUGUCAUAUUGCUUUGCAUGAUCAUGUAGUUGACAUAGUAUUUGUGGCAAAGCCACCGUUCAUAAUUUUUAUACAUGUCACUCUUGAUUCAUUGCACAUCCUGGUACACCACCGGAGGCAUUCAUAUAGAGUCAUAUUUUGUUCUAAGUAUCGAGUUGUAAUUCUUGAGUUGUAAGUAAAUAAAAGUGUGAUGAUCAUCAUUAUUAGAGCAUUGUCCCAUGUGAGAAAAGGAUGAUGAAGACUAUGAUUCCCUCACAAGUCGGGAGGAGACUCCGGAUGAAAAAAAAGAAAGAAAAAAGAGGCCAAAAAAACCAAAAAAAGAGAGAAAAGAGAGAAGGGGCAAUGUUACCAUCCUUUUUCCACACUUGUGCUUCAAAGUAGCACCAUGAUCUUCAUGAUAGAGAGUCUCCUAUGUUGUCACUUUCAUAUACUAGUGGGAAUUUUUCAUUAUAGAACAUGGCUUGUAUAUUCCAAUGAUGGGCAUCCUCAAAUUGCCCUAGGUAUUCGUGAGCAAGCAAGUUGGAUGCACACCCACUUAGUUUAUUUUUGAGCUUUCAUAAAUUUGUAGCUCUAGUGCAUCUGUUGCAUGGGCAUCUCCGUAGCCCGUUGAUACGCCUAGUUGAUGUGAGACUAUCUCUUUCUUUUUUUCUUUUCCACAACCACCAUAUUCUAUUCCACCUAUAGUGCUAUGUCCAUGGCUCACGCUCAUGUAUUGCGUGAAAUGUAAAAAAGUUUGAGAACACCAAAAGUAUGAAACAAUUGCUUGGCUUGUCAUCGGGGUUGUGCAUGAUUUGAAUAUUUUGUAUGAUGAAGAUGGAGCACAACCAGACUAUAUGAUUUUGUAGCGAUAGCUUUCUUUGGCCAUGUUAUUUUGAGAAGACAUGAUUUCUUUAUUAGUAUGCUUGAAGUAUUAUUGUUUUUAUGUCAGUAUUAAACUUUUGUUUUGAAUCUUAUGGAUCUGAACAUUGAUGCCACAAUAAAGACAAUUACAUGGAUGAACAUGUUGUUGGGGAACGUAGUAAUUUCAAAAAAAAUCCUACGCACACGCAAGAUCAUGGUGAUGCAUAGCAACGAGAGGGGAGAGUGUUGUCUACGUACCCUCGUAGACCGAAAGCGGAAGCGUUAACACAACGCGGUUGAUGUAGUCGUACGUCUUCACGAUCCGACCGAUCAAGUACCGAACGUACGGCACCUCCGAGUUCAGCACACGUUCAGCUCGAUGACGUCCCUCGAACUCCGAUCCAGCCGAGUGUUGAGGGAGAGUUUCGUCAGCACGACGGCGUGGUGACAAUGAUGAUGUUCUACCGACGCAGGGCUUCGCCUAAGCACCGCUACGAUAUUAUCGAGGUGUAAUAUGGUGGAGGGGGGCACCGCACACGGCUAAGAGAUCAAUGAUAAAUUGUGUGUUUAGAGGUGCCCCCCUGCCCCCGUAUAUAAAGGAGCAAGGGGGGGUUCGGCCGGCCAAGGGGAGAGGCGCGCCAGGAGGAGUCCUACUCCUACCGGGAGUAGGACUCCCCCCCUUUUCCAUAUUGGACUAGGAGAGAGAGGGGGAAGAGGUGGAGGGGAAGAAGGAAAGGGGGCGCCGCCCCCCCCCUCUCCUUGUCCUAUUCGGACUGGGGGGAGGGGCAUGCAGCCGUGCCCUGGCCUCCUCUCCUCUCUUCCACCUAGGCCCACUAAGGCCCAUUAAAUUACCGGGGGGUUCCAGUAACCUCCCGGUACUCCGGAAAAAUCCCGAUUUCACCCGGAGCACUUCCGAUAGCCAAACAUAGGCUUCCAAUAUAUCAAUCUUUAUGUAUCAACCAUUUCGAGACUCCUCCUUAUGUCCGUGAUCACAUCCGGGACUCCGAACAACCUUCGGUACAUCAAAACAUAUAAACUCAUAAUAUAACUAUCAUCGUAACGUUAAGCGUGCGGACCCUACGGGUUCGAGAACUAUGUAGACAUGACCGAGACACCUCUCCGGUCAAUAACCAAUAGCGGAACCUGGAUGCUCAUAUUGGUUCCCACAUAUUCUACGAAGAUCUUUAUCGGUCAGACCGCAUAACAACAUACGUUGUUCCCUUUGUCAUCGGUAUGUUACUUGCCCGAGAUUCGAUCGUCGGUAUCUCGAUACCUAGUUCAAUCUCAUUACUGGCAAGUCUAUUUACUCGUUCCGUAAUACAUCUCCCGCAACUAACUCAUUAGUUACAAUGCUUGCAAGGCUUAUAGUGAUGUGUAUUACUGAGUGGGCCCAGAGAUACCUCUCCGACAAUCGGAGUGACAAAUCCUAAUCUCGAAAUACGCCAACCCAACAAGUACCUUUGGAGACACCUAUAGAGCACCUUCAUAAUCACCCAGUUACGUUGUGACGUUUGGUAGCACACAAAGUGUUCCUCUGGUAAACGGGAGUUGCAUAAUCUCAUAGUCAUAGGAACAUGUAUAAGUCAUGAAGAAAGCAAUAGCAACAUACUAAACGAUCAAGUGCUAAGCUAACGGAAUGGGUCAAGUCAAUCACAUCAUUCUCCUAAUGAUGUGAUCCCGUUAAUCAAAUGACAACUCAUGUCUAUGGCUAGGAAACAUAACCAUCUUUGAUCAACGAGCUAGUCAAGUAGAGGCAUACUAGUGACACUCUGUUUGUCUAUGUAUUCACACAAGUAUUAUGUUUCCGGUUAAUACAAUUCUAGCAUGAAUAAUAAACAUUUAUCAUGAUAUAAGGAAAUAAAUAAUAACUUUAUUAUUGCCUUUAGGGCAUAUUUCCUUCAGUCUCCCACUUGCACUAGAGUCAAUAAUCUAGAUUACACAGUAAUGAUUCUUACACCCAUGGAGUCUUGGUGUUGAUCAUGUUUUGCUCGUGGAAGAGGCUUAUUCAACGGGUCUGCAACAUUCAGAUCCGUAUGUAUCUUGCAAAUUUCUAUGUCUCCCACCUGGACUAAAUCCCGGAUGGAAUUGAAGCGUCUUUUGAUGUGCUUGGUUCUUUUGUGAAAGCUGGAUUCCUUUGCUAAGGCAAUUGCACCAGUAUUCUCACAAAAGAUUUUCAUUGGACCCGAUGCACAAGGUAUGACACCUAGAUCGGAUAUGAACUCCUUCAUCCAGACUCCUUCAUUUGCUGCUUCCGAAGCAGCUAUGUACUCCGCUUCACACGUAGAUCCCGCCACGACACUUUGCUUAGAACUGCACCAACUGACAGCUCCACCGUUCAAUGUAAACACGUAUCCGGUUUGCGAUUUAGAAUCGUCCGGAUCAGUGUCAAAGCUUGCAUCAACGUAACCAUUUACGAUGAGCUCUUUGUCACCUCCAUAAAUGAGAAACAUAUCCUUAGUCCUUUUCAGGUAUUUCAGGAUGUUCUUGACUGCUGUCCAGUGAUCCACUCCUGGAUUACUUUGGUACCUCCCUGCUAAACUUAUAGCAAGGCACACAUCAGGUCUGGUACACAGCAUUGCAUACAUGAUAGAGCCUAUGGCUGAAGCAUAGGGAACAUCUUUCAUCUUCUCCCUAUCUUCUGCAGUGGUCGGGCAUUGAGUCUUACUCAAUCUCAAACCUUGUAAUACAGGCAAGAACCCUUUCUUUGCUUGAUCCAUUUUGAACUUCUUCAAAACUUUGUCAAGGUAUGUGCUUUGUGAAAGUCCAAUUAAGCCUCUUGAUCUAUCUCUAUAUAUCUUGAUGCCCAAUAUAUAUGCAGCUUCACCGAGCUCUUUCAUUGAAAAACUCUUAUUCAAGUAUCCCUUUAUGCUAUCCAGAAAUUCUAUAUCAUUUCCAAUUAGCAAUAUGUCAUCCACAUAUAAUAUCAGAAAUGCUACUGAGCUCCCACUCACUUUCUUGUAAAUACAGGCUUCUCCAAAAGUCUGUAUAAAACCAAAUGCUUUGAUCACACUAUCAAAGUGUUUAUUCCAACUCCGAGAGGCUUGCACCAGUCCAUAAAUGGAUCGCUGGAGCUUGCACACUUUCUUAGCUCCCUUUGGAUCGACAAAACCUUCCGGUUGCAUCAUAUACAACUCUUCUUCCAGAAAUCCAUUCAGGAAUGCAGUUUUGACAUCCAUUUGCCAAAUUUCAUAAUCAUAAAAUGCGGCAAUUGCUAACAUGAUUCGGACAGACUUGAGCAUCGCUACGGGUGAGAAUGUCUCAUCGUAGUCAAUCCCUUGAACUUAUCGAAAACCUUUCGCAACAAGUCGAGCUUUAUAGACAGUAACAUUACCGUCAACGUCAGUCUUCUUCUUGAAGAUCCAUUUAUUUUCAAUGGCUUGCCGAUCAUCCGGCAAGUCAACCAAAGUCCAUACUUUGUUCUCAUACAUGGAUCCCAUCUCGGAUUUCAUGGCCUCAAGCCAUUUUGCGGAAUCUGGGCUCACCAUCACUUCUUCAUAGUUCGUAGGUUCGUCAUGGUCUAGUAACAUAACCUCCAGAACAGGAUUACCGUACCACUCUGGUGCGGAUCUUAAUCUGGUUGACCUACGAGGUUCAGUAAUAACUUGAUCUGAAGUUUCAUGAUCAUUAUCAUUUACUUCCUCACUAAUUGGUGUAGGUGUUGCAGAAACUGGUUUUUGUGAUGAUCUACUUUCCAAUAAGGGAGCAGGUACAGUUACCUCAUCAAGUUCUACUUUCCUCCCACUCACUUCUUUCGAGAGAAACUCCUUCUCUAGAAAGGAUCCAUUCUUAGCAACGAAUGUCUUGCCUUCGAAUCUGUGAUAGAAGGUGUACCCAACGGUCUCCUUUGGGUAUCCUAUGAAGACACAUUUCUCCGAUUUAGGCUCGAGCUUAUCAGGUUGAAGUUUCUUCACAUAAGCAUCGCAACCCCAAACUUUAAGAUACGACAACUUUGGUUUCUUGCCAAACCAUAGUUCAAAAGGCGUCGUCUCAACGGAUUUCGAUGGUGUCCUAUUUAGAGUGAAUGCAGCUGUCUCUAAAGCAUAACCCCAAAAUGAUAGCGGUAAAUCAGUAAGAGACAUCAUAGUUCGCACCAUAUCUAAUAAAGUACGAUUACGACGUUCAGACACACCAUUACGCUGUGGUGUUCCGGGUGGCGUGAGUUGCGAAACUAUUCCGCAUUGUUUCAAAUGUAGACCAAACUCGUAACUCAAAUAUUCCCCUCCACGAUCAGAUCGUAGGAAUUUUAUUUUCUUGUUACGAUGAUUUUCAACUUCACUCUGAAAUUCUUUGAACUUUUCAAAUGUUUCAGACUUAUGUUUCAUUAAGUAGAUAUACCCAUAUCUGCUCAAAUCAUCUGUGAAGGUGAGAAAAUAACGAUAUCCGCCACGAGCCUCAAUAUUCAUCGGACCACAUACAUCUGUAUGUAUGAUUUCCAACAAAUCAGUUGCUCUCUCCAUAGUUCCGGAGAACGGUGUAUUAGUCAUCUUGCCCAUGAGACACGGUUCGCAAGUACCAAGUGAUUCAUAAUCAAGUGAUUCCAAAAGUCCAUCAUUAUGGAGUUUCUUCAUGCGCUUUACACCGAUAUGACCUAAACGGAAGUGCCACAAAUAAGUUGCACUAUCAUUAUCAACUCUGCAUCUUUUGGCUUCGACAUUAUAAAUAUGGUGUCACUACUACCGAGAUUCAUUAAAAAUAGACCACUCUUCAAGGGUGCAUGAUCAUAAAAGAUAUUACUCAUAUAAAUAGAACAACCAUUAUUCUCUGAUUUAAAUGAAUAACCGUCUCGCAUCAAACAAGAUCCAGAUAUAAUGUUCAUGCUCAACGCUGGCACCAAAUAACAAUUAUUUAGGUCUAAUACUAAUCCCGAAGGUAGAUGUAGAGGUAGCGUGCCGACGGCGAUCACAUCGACUUUGGAACCGUUUCCCACGCGCAUCGUCACCUCGUCCUUGGCCAGUGUUCGCUUAAUCCGUAGUCCCUGUUUCGAGUUGUGAAUAUUAGCAACAGAACCAGUAUCAAAUACCCAGGUGCUACUGCGAGCUCUGGUAAGGUACACAUCAAUAACAUGUAUAUCACAUAUACCUUUGUUCACCUUGCCAUCCUUCUUAUCCGCCAAAUACUUGGGGCAGUUCCGCUUCCAGUGACCAGUCUGCUUGCAGUAGAAGCACUCAGUCUCAGGCUUAGGUCCAGAUUUGGGUUUCUUCUCCUGAACAGCAACUUGCUUGCUGUUCUUCUUGAAGUUCCCCUUCUUCUUCCCUUUGCCCUUUUUCUUGAAACUAGUGGUCUUAUUGACCAUCAACACUUGAUGCUCCUUUUUGAUUUCUACCUCCGCUGCCUUUAGCAUUGCGAAGAGCUCGGGAAUUGUCUUAUUCAUCCCUUGCAUGUUAUAGUUCAUCACGAAGCUCUUGUAGCUUGGUGGCAGUGAUUGAAGAAUUCUGUCAAUGACGCUAUCAUCCGGAAGAUUAACUCCCAGUUGAAUCAAGUGAUUGUUAUACCCACACAUUUUGAGUAUAUGCUCACUGACAGAACUAUUCUCUUCCAUCUUGCAGCUGUAGAACUUAUUGAAGACUUCAUAUCUCUCAAUCCGGGCAUUUGCUUGAAAUAUUAACUUCAACUCCUGGAACAUCUCAUAUGCUCCAUGACGUUCAAAACGUCGUUGAAGACCCGGUUCUAAGCCGUAAAGCAUGGCACACUGAACUAUCGAGUAGUCAUCGGCUUUGCUCUGCCAGACGUUCAUAACCUCUGGUAUUGCUCUUGCAGCAGGCCUGGCACCCAGCGGUGCUUCCAGGACGUAAUUCUUCUGUGCAGCAAUGAGGAUAAUCCUCAAGUUACGGACCCAGUCCGUAUAAUUGCUACCAUCAUCUUUCAGCUUUGCUUUCUCAAGGAACGCAUUAAAAUUCAACGGAACAACAGCACGGGCCAUCUAUCUACAAUUAACAUAGACAAGCAAGAUACUAUCAGGUACUAAGUUCAUGAUAAAUUUAAGUUCUAUUAAUCAUAUUACUUAAGAACUCCCACUUAGAUAGACAUCCCUCUAAUCAUCUAAGUGAUUACGUGAUCCAAAUCAACUAAACCAUAACCGAUCAUCACGUGAAAUGGAGUAGUUUUCAAUGGUGAACAUCACUAUGUUGAUCAUAUCUACUAUAUGAUUCAUGCUCGACCUUUCGGUCUCAGUGUUCUGAGGCCAUAUCUGCAUAUGCUAGGCUCGUCAAGUUUAACCUGAGUAUUCUGCGUGUGCAAAACUGGCUUGCACCCGUUGUAGAUGGACGUAGAGCUUAUCACACCCGAUCAUCACAUGGUGUCUGGGCACGACGAACUUUGGCAAUGGUGCAUACUCAGGGAAGACACUUUUAUCUUGAAAUUUAGUGAGAGAUCAUCUUAUAAUGCUACCGUCAAUCAAAGCAAGAUAAGAUGCAUAAAAGAUAAACAUCACAUGCAAUCAAUAUAAGUGAUAUGAUAUGGCCAUCAUCUUGUGCUUGUGAUCUCCAUCUCCGAAGCACCGUCAUGAUCACCAUUGUCACCGGCGCGACACCUUGAUCUCCAUCGUAGCAUCGUUGUCGUCUCGCCAACUAUUUCUUUUACGACUAUCGCUACCGCUUAGUGGUAAAGUAAAACAAUUACAUGGCAAUUGCAUUGCAUACAAUAAAGCAACAACCAUAUGGCUCCUGCCAGUUGCCGAUAACUCGGUUACAAAACAUGAUCAUCUCAUACAAUAAAAUUCAGCAUCAUGUCUUGACCAUAUCACAUCACAACAUGCCCUGCAAAAACAAGUUAGACGUCCUCUACUUUGUUGUUGCAAGUUUUACGUGGCUGCUACGGGCUUAGCAAGAACCGUUCUUACCUACGCAUCAAAACCACAACGAUAGUUUGUCAAGUUGGUGUUGUUUUAACCUUCGCAAGGACCGGGCGUAGCCACACUCGGUUCAACUAAAGUGAGAGAGACAGACACCCGCCAGUCACCUUUAAGCAACGAGUGCUCGCAACGGUGAAACCAGUCUCGCGUAAGCGUACGCGUAAUGUCAGUCCGGGCCGCUUCAUCUCACAAUACCGCUGAACCAAAAUAUGACAUACUGGUAAGCAGUAUGACUUAUAUCGCCCACAACUCACUUGUGUUCUACUCGUGCAUAUUUCAUGAACGCAUAAAAACAGGCUCUGAUACCACUGUUGGGGAAUGUAGUAAUUUCAAAAAAAUUCCUACGCACACGCAAGAUCAUGGUGAUGCAUAGCAACGAGAGGGGAGAGUGUUGUCUACAUACCCUCGUAGACCGAGAGCGAAAGCGUUAACACAAUGCGGUUGAUGUAGUCAUACGUCUUCACGAUCCGACCGAUCAAGUACCGAAUGUACGGCACCUUCGAGUUCAGCACACGUUCAGCUCGAUGACGUCCCUCGAACUCCGAUCCAGCCGAGUGUUGAGGGAGAGUUUCGUCAGCACGACGGCGUGGUGACAAUGAUGAUGUUCUACCGACGCAGGGCUUCACCUAAGCACCGCUACGAUAUUAUCGAGGUGUAAUUUGGUGGAGGGGGCACCGCACACGUCUAACAGAUCAAUGAUCAAUUGUGUGUUUAGAGGUGCCCCCCUGCCCCCGUAUAUAAAGGAGCAAGGGGGGGUUCGGCCGGCCAAGGGGAGAGGCGCGCCAGGAGGAGUCCUACUCCUACCGGGAGUAGGACUCCCCCCCCUUUCCAUGUUGGACUAGGAGAGAGAGGGGGAAGAGGUGGAGGGGAGGAAGGAAAGGGGGGGCGCCGCCCCCCUCUCCUUGUCCUAUUCGGACUGGGGGGAGGGGCGUGCGGCCCUGCCCUGGCCUCCUCUCCUCUCUUCCACCAAGGCCCACUAAGGCCCAUUAAGUUACCGGGGGGUUCCGGUAACCUCCCGGUACUCCGGAAAAAAUCCCGAUUUCACCCGAAACACUUCCGAUAUCCAAACAUAGGCUUCCAAUAUAUCAAUCUUUAUGUCUCGACCAUUUCGAGACUCCUCGUUAUGUCCGUGAUCACAUUCGGGACUCCGAACAACCUUCGGUACAUCAAAACAUAUAAACUCAUAAUAUAACUGUCAUCGUAACGUUAAGCGUGUGGACCCUACGGGUUCGAGAACUAUGUAGACAUGACCGAGACACCUCUCCGGUCAAUAACCAAUAGCGGAACCUGGAUGCUCAUAUUGGUUCCCACAUAUUCUACGAAGAUCUUUAUCGGUCAGACCGCAUAGCAACAUACGUUGUUCCCUUUGUCAUCGGUAUGUUACUUGCCCGAGAUUCGAUUGUCGGUAUCUCGAUACCUAGUUCAAUCCCGUUACUGGCAAGUCUCUUUACUCGUUCCGUAAUACAUCAUCCCGCAACUAACUCAUUAGUUACAAUGCUUGCAAGGCUUAUAGUGAUGUGUAUUACUGAGUGGGCCCAGAGAUACCUCUCCGACAAUCGGAGUGACAAAUCCUAAUCUCGAAAUACGCCAACCCAACAAGUACCAUUGGAGACACCUGUAGAGCACAUUUAUAAUCACCCAGUUACGUUGUGACGUUUGGUAGCACACAAAGUGUUCCUCUGGUAAACGGGAGUUGCAUAAUCUCAUAGUCAUAGGAACAUGUAUAAGUCAUGAAGAAAGCAAUAGCAACAUACUAAACGAUCGAGUGCUGAGCUAACGGAAUGGGUCAACUCAAUCACAUCAUUCUCCUAAUGAUGUGAUCCCGUUAAUCAAAUGACAACUCAUGUGUAUGGCUAGGAAACAUAACCAUCUUUGAUCAAUGAGCUAGUCAAGUAGAGGCAUACUAGUGACACUCUGUUUGUCUAUGUAUUCACACAAGUAUUAUGUUUCCGGUUAAUACAAUUCUAGCAUGAAUAAUAAACAUUUAUCAUGAUAUAUGGAAAUAAAUAAUAACUUUAUUAUUGCUUCUAGGGCAUAUUUCCUUCACAUAUUAGGUAGCAUUCCACAUCAAAAAUUAUGUUUUAUCAUUUACCUACUCCAGGAUGAGCAGGAAUUAAGCUUGGGGAUGCUUGAUACGUCUCCAAUGUCUCUAUAAUUUUUGAUUGUUCCAUGCUAUUAUAUUAUCUGUUUUGAAUGUUUUAUAUCCAUUAAUAUGCUAUUUUAUAUUAUUUUCUGGGACUAACCUAUUAACCUAGAGCCCAGUGCCAGUUUCUGUUUUUUCUUGUUUUUGAGCUUCGUCGAAAAGUAAUACCAAACGGAGUCCAAACGGAAUAAAAUUUCAUGAUGCUUUUUCUUGGACUAGAAGACACCUAGGAUACUUGGAGUUCAAGUCAGAAGAGCCACGAGGCGACGACAAGGGUGGAGGGCGCAACCAGGGGGUAGGGCGCACCGCCCUAUGUUGUGGGCCCCACAUGACCUUCCUGGCCUAGUUCUGCCUCCUAUAUAUUCACAUAUAUUCCCAAACCACCAGAAGCAUCCAUGAAAACACUUAUGCACCACCACAACCUUCUGUUCCCAUGAGAUCCCAUCUUAGGGCCUUUUCCGGCAUCCUGCCGGAGGGGGAUUCGAUCACGGAGGGCAUCUACAUCAACUCUAUUGCCCUUCUGAUGAAGCGUGAGUAGUUUACCUUAGAUCUACGGGUCCAUAGUUAGUAGCUAGAUGGCUUCUUCUCUCUCUUUGAUUCUUAAUACCAUGUUCUCCUCGAUAUUCUACUACUGGAUUGAUACCUUGGUUCAUAACUAAGGGAAAUACUUAUCUCUACUUUGCUGCAUCACCCUUUCCUCUUCUAGAGAAAAACCAACGCAAGCUUAAGAAGUAGCAAGGAGAAGAACAAGAGAAGAAGAGGAAGUGAAGAGAUGGCUGAGUGGUAGCGCUGGUUGAUCGAUGGAUCGGUGAUGUGGUGGAGCAGCGGCUGAUAGCGGUGAUGGAUGGCGGCGGUGGCUGGUUGGCACGCCGCCACGCUGGCCUAGCCGCGGCCGGAGGUGGAGAAGCAGGCGGAGGAAGGACAGAUGUGCCAGGCCCAAAAGGGGAUCGAGGAUGAACUUGGGAUUUUGACACCUCACGGUUGAUCUUCCCCUUUGCAAUUUGGCCCCUCUCCUUUUCUUCUUUCGGUACAAGUUGGUCCUCCUCUUCAUUAGGCGGACCCUUGAAGCUUUAAUGUUCAUCAAACUAGGGUCCCUCCAUCUUUCUUUCCUGCCCUUGUCUCUUCUGGUUAGCCACAUAGUCCAAACCAUGAAGUUUAUAGUUCCUUUGUGCACUUUUCUGAAAAAUAGACCAAAGACUAGUAUGCGAUCCCUUUAUAUGAUUUUCAUUCAAUUAUUCAACAUUUCCAAGAAUUGAUGGUCAGAACUAAACAAAUGAUAUAUUUGUGACAAAAUUAUAUAUAUGAAAUGUGCUUAUCAAGUUUCCCCACACUUAAACUUUUGCUUGUAUUCAAGCAAAGGCAUAUGACAAGAGCAAGAAUAUGAAUAGUGAGCUAAGUAAAGAAUGUCCUGGUAAAACAGAUCUCCAAACAAUGCAUGCUUUGGACCUUGGUAAUGAAAAUUAAUGGUUAAGAGUACUACAUAUCAAUAGGACACUAGUAAACUCGAUCAUUUUAAACUUUUGCAAUGAUAAACAAAGAUUAGCAAGUUCAAAUGCUGAUUGUGCCAAAAGGUUCCUAAAGAGAGCACGAUCCUCACUUAUUACCAGGAACACAACAUUGUGGUUGAACCACUUAUUGAAAUGGAAACACAUAUUGAAAAUAUAUUAUCGGUCUCACCAAAAGAACAUACCACCGAUCCCGAGAACAUGGUAUACACCUGGCUUGACCAAUUAUUAGUAUUUUUUGUCUCCCCAAAGGAACAUACCACCGAUCCAGAGAACAUGGUAUACACCUGGUUCAACAAUUACAUUUUUAUUAUUAAUUACUGCCCAGGCUAACCCGAUUUCACAUGGCACGGAUCCAGGGAACAUGACAUGCUACUAUAGGUAGUGAUACUUAUUUAUUCAUUGUUACUUAUUUAACAAAUGAAUACAAAAAGGAAACAAGAAUCAUCACUCAUCCAGGUCUUGUUCACAUAGUACCGAUCCAGGGAACAUGGCAUGCUAGUCCAUAGUGGUGAGUGAUUGCUCUAAAUGGGAACACAUUAGGCACAAACUAAGCAUCUAUCACUUAAUGAUCUAGAUGUAUCAAGGUAAAAGCAGAAAAUGAUUAAGCUUUCUAGUGUACUAGGGAUUUGAGCACUCAAAACUAAUACCCUUCACUACUUUCAGCAAAGCAAGCAUUGUAUAGAUCACUAGUUUACAAGGCAUUCAACAAUCAAUUCACGUAUUCACAUCAAGCACCAUAUGUCAAAGGUCAAAUUCAGUGGGACAACAUUUAAGAAUUGGCUCAAGGAACCCAAAUAGCAAUUGAUUACAGCAUGUAUAAUGUCCGAUGGUAUUCAGAUUGGGGUCAUGAAAUAGCUCACCAGGCUUAUAUUAUGUAGGUCUCGCACAAUCACUCUCUAAACUUUAGCUCUUCUCCUUUUUCUUCCACUUGCAAGCUCCAACUUCUCUCUUCUAUAUGUGUGCCACAUUGCUUCUCCUCAUCACAGUGCUUUGACUCCACCGGGAUCCCAAGGGAUGUCACCUCGAAGCUGGUCAGCAUGUAGUAAACGAUGCAGUAGCAAAAACCUGGAAAGGCAUACAACAAAAGAGACAAGACAAGUGGUAGGGAUAAUACCCUCCAAGUCAUCAAUCGAGUGUCCAAUUACAUAAGCAUAGCUAUAAAGCACAUGUUUAGGAUGAUAUGAAUAAAUGAUCUCAACGCUGGCAUGUGGAUGAUAUAUUUCAUUAAGCAUAACUCUAGCAUGGGGAGAAUAAGCGUCAUAAUAGCAAAUGUGAGAAAUGCCACUAACAGGGUAUGUAUGAUCCUGUCCUAGCAAAUAAUUUUUCAAGUCUAGCUUAAUUGAUGGUAUCAUGUAAUGCAAGGUAGAAGCAAAUAAAUCAUAAGGACGCAUGUCAUCAAGAGGAUUAGAUAAACCUGCUACAUCACGCUCUUGUAUGACAAUAGGCAAAUGAAUUCCUGGUUCUUCAAGUUCAUCUAUAGCAGUUUCUUUUACUUCUUCGGGAGAGAUAGACAUUGGAUCUUCAUCUUGAUCACUUGGGCAUUCAAGCUCUGGAUCGUCUUGUUCCUUGGCUUUGAGAAUUACUUCUUGGAUCUGAAGUAUCUCUUCCUCUGGACUCUCACUAUCUUGCUCAGUUGAAUGUGAAGGUGUUGGAACCUCACAUGUAUCAAGGGAUAUCCCAGAAAUACUCAGCUCAAGCUGUGAUGAGAUAGUACUGCCAGUAUUAAUGUUCCUCUCGAUCUUCCUUACUUCUUCCACUAGCUCCUUUCCACUCUUAAUCUUCUUCAUCUCAUCUAGUAUCAGCUUCCUAAUAGGAUCAUCCUCGCCACUCCAAGUGAAUUCAAGGCUAAGAAGAGUGAUCUUCUCUAUAUCAUCGAACUCAUUUUGUGUGGGCACUUGCACAUGAGAUUCCUCAACGGGUGUUGAAGUUGUAGGUUGACCAAAUGGAGGACCAUUUAACUCCAUUGGACACAUCUCCUGUUGUUGAGGUAUAUGAGUAGGAGCUGAAUAAAAUUGUUGUGGCGCAUAGUUGUUGCUCUACUCAUUGUACCUAAUUCCCUGCAUAUGAUGGCUAGAAGAAAAUGGUGAGACCUCAGGGUUGUUGUUCCAAUAUGACAUAUUCUGGUUUUGAGGCCACCCAUGUGAGUAAUUGUUUUGGUAUGAGCUAUGUUGUUGAGUGAAGCUCAUGCCAAAACAAUCUGGAGGGUGAGAGUAACCAUGCUGACAUUCAGCGGUUUAAUGGCCUGAAAACCACAAAUAUGGCAUGUAGGAGCAACAUAAGGAUGGACUCUAGGGUAAGGAUCAUAAGAACUAGGCCUAUCCUCAAAAACUAUUCCUCGCUGCUGAGCUAAGUCAUCUAAUUGAUAGGAAAUCUUACUUAUCAGGUCUUGAACACUUUCUGAGCUAUUUGUGCUAUUGCUCACAUAAGCAUGAUGAUCUGAGUAGAAUCCCAUUUCCAAGAAGACAAUUCAACCUACCAAAUUAACAAGAAAGAAAGAGAAAAUAACUAGAACAGUGGUUAGGGGUAAGAGAUAUAUCACAAAUAUAUGGCACAAAGAGAAAACAAGUAGAACCUAGUCUAUAGCCAAACAAAAUCGCUCGAUGCUAGUCCCCGGCAAUGGCGCCACAAUGAUCGAUUGUAAAUAGAUUUUCACGCCCAAAUCUGCAGUGUCGUGUCGUCCACGGGGACUAGGCGACAGCAAUAAUGCUCGACUAAAUCUAGGUGACAGAAUUUAGAUGAUGAUAGCAGACAAUUAGAUCUAGACUAACGAAGAUUGUUCCAUAAAAUGUUCAGACAAAGAAAAUGCAGAUUUUACUUACUUUCUUUUUGGUAUUUUCGUAAUGCUUGAGAAAUUAAAAUACUAACAUGAACAUGAUCGACAAAAGGGAAGUGAACACAAAUGACUAUCUAACAUGUAAGAGAUGGAAGAAACAAGAUUAGAAGACACAAUGUAGAUGGUUUACAUCACAAACACACAUGUAUUUACAUUGCACAUGUACUGGAUCUAACACAUGGACAACGGGAUAAAUUUCAGUAAGGAACAAACACACACGGGUGAACACAUUCAUAUGCUAGCAGAAUACUAAUUCACAGAAGCAAAUUCUAAUAGAUCAAUAGAUCAAUAAUCUCCCAAAUUAACAAGGCCUCAACUGGUCAUAUCCAACAUAACAAGUACCAUAUUAUACUAGUACCAAACCGAACAAAUAACAAGUUGCUUGCACUAGUCAAAUUUGAACAUUACACACGACAUACACAUCUCAAGUUAACAGAAAUCAGAGAGAGAGAGAGAGAUAACAGUAGGAGGGAUUCAGAGCAGAGCUUCAGCGAAUGAGGAGCAGCAAGGGGGCGCUGGAGAAGAGCAGCAAGAGGGCGCUGGAGCGGAGCAGCCGCAGGUUCGGAGAAGAAAGAAGCAGUAGGGGAUGUUGAGAGAAGAGAGGAGCAGUAGUUUUGUGGGAGAAGAGCAGCAACAAGAGGUGUAGGAGAGAAGGAAGAGUAGCGUCAGUGAGUAGAAGAGCAGCAGCAGGGGCAUGGAGAGAAGAAGAAUAUCAGCAGGUUCGAGGGGAAGAAGAAUAAGAGCAGCAGCAGGGUUAGGAGAAGAAGAAGAGAAGCGGAGGAAGUGGAGUGAUGGUUGAGUGGUAAAGCUGGUUGAUGGAUGGAUCGGUGAUGUGGUGGAGCAGCGGUCGAUAGUGGUGAUGGAAGGCUGCGGUGGCUGGUUGGCGCGCCGCCAUGCUGGCCUAGCUGCGGCCGCGACUGGAGGUGGG